This 81862-nucleotide long non-coding RNA is filed under the name Solanum tuberosum (potato). RNAcentral's name for it is "long non-coding RNA (STUB_LNC011748)". Lineage: Eukaryota; Viridiplantae; Streptophyta; Magnoliopsida; Solanales; Solanaceae. The record is from RNAcentral.
UUUGAUGCUUUCACUAAAAAUCAGACUUGGGAACUUAUUCCUCCUGGCCUGACUAAAAACAUUGUAUCCUGCAAGUGACUUUUCAGGAUCAAGAGAAAUGUUGAUGGGUCCAUCGACAGAUACAAAUUGCACCUGGUUGCAAAAGGCUUUAUUCAAAUUUCGAGCAUUGAUUUUUAUGCAACAUUCAGCCAGUCAUCAAUCCCAUCAUAAUUUGCAUCAUCCUCUUUAUGACACUUCGUCACAACUGGACCUUCGCCAGCUUGAUGUCAAUAAUGUCUUCCUCCAAGCCAACCAAGAAGAGAAAGUGUACAUGGUACAACCACCGGGGUUUACUAGUGAUGAAAAACCCAACGCAUAUAUGUCAACUACGAAAGGACAUCUAUGGAUUGAAAUAGGCUCCUCGGGCAUGGUACAAUGACCUCACGGGUUAUCUUUCAUUCAUAGGCUUUGUUAAGAUGUUAUUGAAAGUCAAGAGGGGGGGUGAAUUAAAAUUCCUUUAGUCAACUUCCUGUAAUGGCCAAUCGAAUCACCUGCACGUUAGUAGAAUAGAUAAACAGUGAUAAUAAUUUGCAGUAAGUAAAUAACACAUAGAGUUUUUAUACUGGUUCGGAACACCGAUGUGGUGCCUAGUCCAGUCCCCUUGGGUUACAAAGGUUUCCUUAAGAGCUUUGAUGUGAGCUUUGGAAGUACAGCGUUUCUGCGAUUUGAUCUUGUCUGAUGUGCAAAUAAGAUUUCUACCUUGACACUACCUCUACUUGUAAACCUACACUCAGAUUCUUUCUUUUUCUUUUCGUUUCAAUUGUAUCACCCACGUGUUUACAAAGCUUUAUGAAAGAUAAAAGAAAGAUCAUCUAUAAGCUCAAGUGAAGUUUUGUGCUUCACACUAAAGUCUGGGGGUAGUUUAUAUAUGCAUAGACCCAUGCUCCUGUAAGGAAAACCCAAGGGAUAUUUAUCUCAAUCAAGGAUGAUUGAGAAAUUCCUUGAUUAAGGUGAUUUGCUAAUCCAUGUCCAGAUUAGAUAUGUGCAUAGUAAAUCGCUUUCUCUAUCCUUCUUGGCUAGGCUGUCUUGAUUCUUUCCUUGUAUAAUCAGUAGAUCUCUAGUCUUUGACUUGAUUCACGACUCUUCCCUUUCUUGAUAACUCGAUUCUAAUUGAGGCUUUGAUUUGCUAAUCUUCUUGAUUUCAUCUUGUCAAUCAAGGUGUGCUUGAUUGAGUUGUUUGUUGUAUUUGGACCAUAUGUAUAGUGAUUCUGAUUCCUUAGAUUAAGGCUUUCCUUUCUAUCAAUUUCUGUAAUGAUCAAUCAUAUAUUUCUUUCCAUCUUGAUGUUGUCUGCAAAGAUCAUUUCCUUUUUGAUUUCGUGGCCUACGAGAAUUGUGAGCAAUGGGUUAAAUGUCUAUUUUCAAAAUCAACUAAGUCUAAGGAAUUAACAAUCUCCCCCUUUUUGAUAAUGAAAACUUGUUCACAAUUUAAUAUGUAGUAUAGAGAGUCAAAGAUACUUCCCUGAUAGAAGUUGUAUGUGAGCUCUGUAGACUCUGUAGCUCCCCCUGCCUUUGAGACGCUAAAUGACAGUGUAGCUCCCCCUGUCUUAAGGAAAUUUUGGGAAGGCAAACUCUCUCCCCCUUUGGGAUAAUAAAAAAGAACACAGAACUGCACACUAGAUAUAAACGAGCAAAGAAAAGCAGAAAAUAGCAAAGCAGUUUAGAGGUCAGAGAGUCCUAAAUAAACACUCCAAAAAAAGAUAGGGACAGACCCAUAUUAAAAGUUAGUCCAAAAAUAGCAGUUAAAACACAUAUUUCCAAACGCAGGGGCUAACGAUCACCCAAAAAGUACUUGAGGGUGUUGAUAACCAUUCCACAGAGAGAGUUAUAGGAUCGUUCCACAUUGCGAGAGAGACUAGAGUACGAAGUCUAAACAGUAACUGCAAAAUCAUUGUUAAAGGAGCUGACUCCACUCUUAAGAGAGCCAACUUGUUUAAUCAACCUAUGGACAGUGGAGAUUCCUUCAUCUUUGAUCCCUGUUAUAGCAAUACGCAGCUUACCCACGUUAGUACUUGUAUCUUUCUGUAGACGAAAGACUUUUUCCACAACAUCGAGAAGAGUCUCUAAGCCACGUUCUACUGUUAAAAGCCGAGUCUUAAGUUCAUCAUUGUCUUGCAAUAGGAUAGCGGUUGAAUCUGCAAAAAAAAUUGUAUGUUUGAGGGUCUCAGCCCUCGCCUUGAAAGAGUCCUUUUUAACCCACUUAUCUUUAACCUGCACAUACCCCAUACUAGAAAAAGUACGAAAGUCAUAAGAAGCAUUAAUAACAAUGGGAGUAAACAUAGAGAGAUCCACCAGAAUACGCGAUAUAAGUAGGCCAUACGGCAGACUGGCAGAGGCAUUCGUAUCCUCAGCACUUUCCCACAUAUAUUCCUUGAACCAUACCACACAAUAUUUCCUAAGUAAGCAGUAGAGAAUAUACACAUCCCGAGUAGAUAUAUUACUCAAGGAACCUAUCCUGGAGAUGAGAGUGGUGGCAACAAUGUGCGCCAGUAUACGAUUUUUAAAACAAAGAGACAAUGGCCCAAAGCAAGAACUGUCAGAAUCCGGUUCAGCCACAGCUCUCUUUGCACCUUCUAGAGAGACUUCAAAGUCUUCAGGCAAAGUUCCGUUCAUAUAUGAAAUCACACCAGGAAAAUUUGUACCAAAUACAUCUUCAAAGAGCAAUUCAUUAACAAUAAUGCAAUUUCUCAAGACUAAAGUUUCUAACUCACCGCUGUCAGGAGAUAUGCGAAGAUUUGUAUAGAAGAGUCGAACAGCCUCUUCGAAAAGUUCAAGACCACUAAGAGUGAAAAGUGGGGAUAAUUUAUGAACUUUGAGAUAAGAGCUUACCGGGCAGUGAGAGUCCUUUAGCUGACUGAAGUUUACAGCACAGCCAGGAACAAUCGGACUAGUUUUGAAGUUGUCAUACCUGUGCUUCUGUUCGAUUCCUCAGAACCUUUGCAUGUCUACUGGAGAGAGAGAUCCCGACGCAAGAGGAUGAGGUUUCUUUGAAGCUUUCUGUUUUGAGGUAGAUAUUCUCUUCUUUGAUGAGACAGUCGGGGAAGCCAUUGAUCCUGUGGAAGAAUUACAGGAAAGGACAAGAUGUCCAUUUCGAAAGAGCUUGAAGGGGCAGAGGGUUUUUGAGAGGUCAUGGAGCGAGUUUUAGUCAUGGUAGGUUAAAGAAGGAAGAAGAGAAGAAGACAGAUAAACAGAAAAGAGAAGAGGGAGAAGAAAAGUCUUUGAAAUGAAGGGAGGGUACAUAAAAGAAAAGAAAAGACGGGAGAUAUAGGGAAACGGAGGAGGCGGUGGUAGAUCAUAAUUAAAAAAAAAACAAAAACAAGGAAAACACAUUAAACGCAUAAGGAAUAAAAAUUAAUUAAGGCAAAACACGGAAAAUACAUUGAACGCAUAAGGAAUAAAAAUUAAUUAAGGCACGUAAUACCAAGGCAAUUUCUAAGGAAACAAAAUAUCUCUUCAAGUAGCAUUUUUGUAAAAAUAUCAGCUAAUUGAUUUUCAGAAUCUACGAAUUUCGACGAAAAAUCAUCAUUUUCAACAUAAUCACGAAUAAAAUGAUGCUUGAUAUCAAUAUGUUUAGCCCUGGAAUGGUGCACAAUAUAUUUAGAGAGACUAAUAGCACUAGUAUUAUCACAAAAAAUCAGAACAACUUCAUAAGAGAGAUCAUAAUCAAGUAAUUGAUGCAUCAUCCAUAAGAGUUGAGUACCACAGCUUCCAACGGUUAGAUACUCAGAUUCAGUAGUAGAUAAAGCAAUCGAAGUUUUUUCUUGCUAUGCCAUGAGACUAUAGAUUGUCCCAAGAUUUGGCAUGUUCCACUUAUACUCUUUCGGUCAUUUUUGUCACCUGCAAAGUCAGCAUCUGAGUAGCCAAUUAAAUCAAAAUGAGUUGAGUGAGGGUACCAUAGUCCUAAUUCAGUGGUGUCAAUCAAGUAGCGAAUAAUUCGCUUUACUGCAGUAAGAUGAGAUUUCUUCGGGGAAAUUUGAAAUCUUGCGCACUUGCAUACGUUGUACAUAAUGUCUGGUCUAUACAUUUUUUCAUCCACAUCUUUCGCGGGUGCAUCUGUUUCAAGGCACGUGGAGGGACUCAUGGGGAUGCCAAAAGCUUUUCCUUUUUCGAGUCCAAACAUCCUUAUUAGCUCCUUUGUGUACUUGGUUUGACUAAUGAAAGUUCCAUUUGUUGACUGUUUGAUUUGAAGUCUGAGGAAGAAUGUGAGUUCUCCCAUUAGACUCAUUUCGAAUUCACCUUUCAUCAGAUUUCUAAAAUUCUCACACAAAGAAGGACUAGAACUUCCAAAAAUAAUAUCAUCAACAUAAAUUUGAACUAUAAGGAUAUACAAGCCAGAUCUUUGAAUGAAAAGAUUUGUGUCAAUUUUUCCCCUUUGGAAAUUAUUUUGAAGUAAAAACAUACUCAAUCUCUCAUACUAGGUUUUUGGAGCUUGUUUGAGACCAUAAAGAGCUUUGGACAACUUAUAAACAAAAUCAGGACAAGAAGGAUUUUCAAAACCGGGGCGUUGUUUGACAAAGACAUCCUCUUUUAUGAAACCGUUUAAAAAGGCACUUCUUUCAUCCAUUUGAAAGAGUUUAAAGCAUUUAAAGGAUGCAUAAGCGAGCAAAAUUCUAAUAGAUUCUAACCUUGACACCGGAGUAAAAGUUUCAUCGUAAUCAAAACCUUCUUGUUGUGAGUAGACUUGAGCAACUAAUCUUGCUUUGUUGUGAGUAAAUUUUCCAUGUUCAUCAAGUUUGUUUCGAAACACCCACUUGGUUCUGAUUACUGAACAAUUUUAGGGUCUUUCGAUAAGAGUCAACACUUGAUUUCUUUCAAAUUGAUCAAGUUCUUCUUUCAUUGCUUGUACCCAUGACUCGUCUUCCAUAGCUUCAUUUAUUCGUUUGGGUUCCAUUUGAGAUAUAAGUGCCACAGAAGCUUUUUUUUUAGGGAAGACCGUGUCUGGAUUUUGUCAUCUGGUUUCCGAGAAUGAAAUUUUCAGGAUAGCUAGCAUUGUGUCUCCAGUCUCUUGGAAUGUUGGCUUUGUCGGCUGGAGUAGUCGACUCCACCUCUGCAGUAGUUGACUCUUAAGUAUUAAUUUCAGUGUUGAUGAUUGUUGUAUCUUCAACUGGUUUGAGAGAAGUAAUUUCAUCGUCACCGACUUCAACUUCAUGUACUCUUGGAUUAGUGUCAUCAAAUAGCACAUGUACAGAUUCUUCAACACUUUAUAAAGUUCUUUUAUUAAAAACAUGAAAGGCCUUAGGAGCAUAGCCUAAAAAGAUACCUUCGUCGCUUCUUGGAUCGAACUUACCGAGAUUAUUCUUACCGUUAUUGUGGAUGAAACACUUGCACUCAAAGGGAUGAAAAUAACUUAUAUUUGGUUUCUUACCUCUCCACAGUUCAUAGGGAGUCUUCUUUAAAAUAUGUCUAAUUAGACACCUGUUAAGAAUAUGACAAGCAGUGCUUACAGCUUCUACCCAAAAAUGGUCAGGUAGACUUCUAUCGAGAAGCAUUGUUCUUGUUGUAUCUUAUAGUGAGCGGUUUUUCCUUUCUACUACUCCGUUUUGUUGAGGAGAUCUGGAUAAAGAGAAAUUUUGAGUAAAGCCGUUUAGAGCACAGAAUUCUUCAAAAGUCUUAUUCUCAAAUUCUCCACCAUGAUCACUAUGAAUAGUUGUAAUGAAAUACCCUACCUCUAGUUGAACUCUUCUACAAAAUGCUUCUAAGUUAGCAAAAGCUUCAUUUUUAUGAGUUAAAAAUAUUACCCAUGUAAACCUUGAGAAGUCGUCAACAAUUACGAAAGCAUAUCUUUUACCUCCAAUGCUUGCAGUUCGAGUAGGACCAAAUAGGUCUAUAUAAAUAAGUUGAAGGGGUUUAGAUGUACUUACAAUAUCUUUUCCUUUGAAGAAUGAACGAGUCUGCUUAACCAUUUGACAUGCAUCACAAAUAUGAUCUUUCUAAAACUUUAGUUUUGGCAGACCAAUGACUAGUUCAAGUCUAGAACGUUUUUCAAGAGCAUGCAUACUUGCGUGUCCAAGCUUUUGAUGCCAUAGCCAAGGAUCGCUUGAGACUGCAGUAAUACAAGUGAGAGAUGGAAAAUCAACAUUAUUUAAAACAUAUAUAUUAUUAACUCGAUCUCCAAUAAGAGUUAGCUUUUUCUCAAGAUGUUUGAUGAUACAGUUGGCUGUGUUGAAAGUGACUUGAAAUCCAGCAUCACAUAGUUGACUAAUGUUGAGGAGGUUAUGCUUGAGUCCCUCAACCAGAUACACUUCGACUAGGUCACAUGAUGAACUAAGUGUAAUGGUUCCAACUCUGGUUACUUCCCCUUUAGCAUUGUCUCCAAACCUGACACAUCCUCCAUCUAUUCUUUUUAUAGUUUUGAAGUUUUCUUUCUUUCCGCACAUAUGUCUGGAGCAUCCACUGUUAAGUGCCCACAUUCCCUUUUUGUAGGUUUUCUUGGAUUUCUCCUUCAAGACAGUAAGAUUAGUUUCUUUUAGGUACCCAAGUAUUUUUGGGUCCUUGAUGAUUAGUAACUUUCGGUCUACAAAUCCAUUUUCUAGAAGAAUAUUUUCUACAUUUAAAAUAUUUUUGACCAAGUUUACCGCAAGUGAAACAAGUAAUUUUAGUAGAAUUUUCAGGAGAAUAGGAAUUAGAAAUAGAUCUAUUUGAUCUGUUAGAACUAUGAUUCGAAGGGUUUUUUCUAUGAAGCGUAGUUCUGUUAGAUCGGACAGAACUAUGACUUAGAGAUUUUCAGAUGUCGUUCAACUGCAUUUUGACUUCCUCUAGUUCUUCAAUAAGUAAGUCGACUUCAAUUUGACUUGCUUCGAGAAGAAUCUGCCAAUCUUUCUUUUCUUGAGCAAUUUUAUUGUAUUCGUCAAUAACCUUUUGUAGUUCAUCAGCAACCAUGUCCAAAGAAUUUUGUAAGUCAUUACAGUUAAGACAAUUAAAAGAUCUUACCUCACUUGUUUCACCUUGUGCCAUGAAACAUAGAUUUGGCAUUUCAUCAUGGUUAUCGUCAGUUGUUUCACCUUUAUCCCAUGCUCCAAGACUCUUAGGAUCUUCGUUUCUUCGAUUGUUUCUUUUUCUCCAUUCUGGGCAAUUUUAUUUUUUGUGUCCUGGUUUUCCGUAGUAGCAAUAGUGAUCAUCAUUCCUUUUGAAAUCAUUGUUCUUGAAGUCCUAUUGAGGUCUCUAUCUUCUAUAUUUAAGUAUUUGUCUUACUCCUCGAUUGAUAAGAGCCAGUCCUUCAUCUUGAUCUUCAUCAGCUUCUUCUCCAAUUUUAGAUGUUUCAGUUGUAAAUACCACAGUCUCCUUUUUAUCAUCCUUGUUGUACCUAUUAAUAUGAUUUUGUUCAUAGGCCAUUAAGUUGCCUCGAAGUUUAUCGUAUGUCAUUUUCUGCAGAUCUCCAUCUUCAAGAAUGACAGCUUUAGUUUCCCAAGCCUUGGGAAGACUUCUAAUGAGUAACCUGACUUGUAGUGCAUUUGAAUACACCAUUCGAAGUGAUUUGAGUUCGCAGACAAUUUUACUGAAUCUCGAGAACAUAGAUUCAACGUUUCCAUCUUUGGUCAUUUAUAACAACUCAUAUUCAUAUACAAGUGAACUGAUCCGAGCUUCUUUUACUUUAGUGGUUCCUUCAUACGUCACUUCUAUUUUGUCCCACAAUUCUUUCGCAGUUUCAUAUGUUGAUGGUUUGUCAUAUUCGGAUCCACUCACUGCACAAUAUAACAAACUUAUAGCUAUAGCAUUAAUUUGAAUUACCUCUUGUUGUUUCUUAGUGAUAUCAAAUGAUUCAGGAUCAAAUGGCUUUUCAGUGCCAUCUUUUUCAGUCAACCUAGGAAUUGGUUUUGGGCCCUUCUUGAUUACUAUCUAUGCUUGAUCAUCAUUUGAAGAGACAAAGAUUCUAAAUCUGUCUAUCCAAUGAGAGUAAUGUUGUCCAUUGAAGUAUGGUGGUCGGUGUGAAGAAUAUACAUCUUGAAGUAAAGCUCCAGAGAUCUGAUAGUAUGCCAUUGGAUCUUUGCUCACGUGUGGUUAAACACUGAAAUAGUGAGACCUUCUCUUAUACCAAUUGAAAGUCAAGAGGGGGGGAUGAAUUAAAAUUCCUUUAGUUGACUCACCUGCACGUUAGUAGAAUAGAUAAAUAGUGAUAAUAAUUUGCAGUAAGUAAAUAACACAGAGAGUUUUUAUACUGGUUCGAAUCACCGAUGUGGUGCCUAGUCCAGUCCCCUUGGGUUACAAGGGUUUCCUUAAGAGCUUUGAAGUGAGCUUACAAAAUUUGAUACGCUCAAAUUACACCUCUUUUCAAAAGCAUAAGUGAUCGUUAUCACGUAAAGAACCCAACUUGUAGAUUGGGGUCGAUCCCACAAAGAAUAUGGUUUAGACAUAAGUUCAAUAACGAUUAUAUUCGUUUAGCUAAUGUAUUUCCGAGACAAAUAAGAAAAAGGGGGAGGGGGGGGAUUUGUGUAACAAAAUUUGGAAAUUAUGAAAGUAAUUAGUACGAAAGAUUCAAACUUUUGUUGUUAUCAAAUUGAGAAGGAAACUAGGGCGUACGUGUUCCCCAUAAGCUCAUAACUCCGUAAUACUAGUAAAAGCAAUCCCUUCCUAGUAUAUUACAGCAAAGACAUAAGUUUUGUAUCUCUAAAUCUUUGGUCCGACAUCUAGAGAAUUUCACCUCAUACCUUGGUCCGGCUACGUGUGUAUAAUUUACUAACCCUUACCAUUACCUCAUAUUAGACGUCACAUCGAUGUAUGACUUAGUUUUCACCCUCGCACCAAUCGACAUUAAUUAUAUUAGAUAGUAUCACACUAAAUCUAAGUUGAUAAUUCUUUUCUUAUUAACUACAUCCUUGGUCUGGCAAGUAGCAACAAGGCGAGUUCUAACGUUGCGCAUCGUUAAAAAGACUUCUAGACGAAAGAAUUAUCAAUGCAUACAAAACACUAUUCGGGAAUUACUUAGUUACUAUUCAUACUUCGUUAAUCGCUCAUGGUUCCCACAACCCUAGUUGUGGAUUUAGUUACCCAUAUUAGCAAGAAAAUAAUUCAUAAUGUUUGAAGAAUAAAUCAUGAACUUAUGUAGUAGAGUAGAAUAAUCCUAGAAUUUCAACUUGAAUUUCGAAGUAAAAAUCACCAAAACGUGCUUAGGAAAUUAAGAAUUGCUAAAGUUUCAAGUUAAUCUCCCAAGACAAAAACUAGAACAAAAAUAAUAAUGUCUCACCUCCAAAAACGAGGUUUACAUCCCAUAUAUAUAGAAAAAUAAGCCCUAACUAAAAAGGAAACGAAAUAAGGAAAUAAAGUUGCAGGACGCGUAUUCAUUCUACGAGACUACCCUACGGUCCGUAAGUCCCUUCCGUGGCUCAGGACUUAGGCAAUUUUCUUUCUUCAAAAUCUGCAAAAUCUCUAUCGUAAUCGACGAUUCAACAGUACGGACCGUAAGUCUAUCUACGGUCCGUAACUCUUCUGCGUAACGCCACACUUAGAUUUUUUCAGCAUCAGGUACUGGAACCAAUCUCUGAAUGAUUUGAUAGAGCAACAGUACGGUCCGUAGAUCAAUCUACGGUUCGUAAGUCACAACCGUGGUUCCACACUUGGUCAAGAAUUCCCUGAUCUUCAAUAAUGCCUUUCCUGCCCUUCUACGACUAUCAUCUACUGGGCCGUAACUGGACCUACAGUCCGUAAGUUGCCUCUGUAGAUGCCCUUUUCUGCACUUCUUUCAGUUGUGUCUUCAAGUUUCCGCGCCUGAACCUAUUCCCUACAAACAUGAGAAAAACACAUAUAAACUGAUACAAAAUACCCUAAACACACACAACUCUCAAGUGAAAUGUAUCAAAAAUAUCGUAAACUCACGGUACAUCAACACCCUCAACUUAAAAUCGUUGUUUGUCCUCAAGCGACGCACUAAGACUCUAAACGACACUUGUAUAGAAGCAAGCAAUAACAUGGCUCUCUAUCCCAACUCUCUUUUCGGGUGCAAAAUUUUUUCUCUUAGACUCAACAAGCUAAUUUGUGCUUAUCAAAAUAUGACACAGAUCGACCAAUCAACUACAUACACUGUUCUACUAUCACCAAGGUACCAACUUUCCAACAAUGUCACCAGUGUCCUUACUUCAAACGAAAUCCAUUUUUUCACACAAUAAAUAUGAUUUUAAGUACAAGGAUUCAUUCAACACUCACGCUCAGAAGUAACUUCAAUUACAAGUAGUGCUCAAUACCAUAGGCUUGCCCUUAUUUUCACUGCUUAGACUCUCCAACUAGGUUCUAGGAUCACUAUAGGACUUUCUUGGCUUGUAACAUAGGCUCAGGGUCAGGUGUGGUACAUUUGGGUACUUUUUUCCCUCCUUGACAUUACAUUAGGCUUUUCUACCUCGUUUUGUCCUAUUUUUGACAUCCUACCUUUUUCUACUCUUUCCUUAGAUUCUUUCCAAUCAUUGAUGUGACUUUCGACUUUGUAGCUCUUUUAUUUUUCACUUUUCUUCUUUUUCUUGCUUUUUCUUCUUUUCUUUAGUUUUGCUCACUUUCUUUCGCACAAAGUCACAUCUUUUCUUUUUCUUUUUCAACACCAAACUCUUUUCAUAGCCAUUUUUCUUUAGAUUUCCCCUUUCAUAACCACCCUCAGCUUAAGGAAUUUCUGUUAGUUGAGGUACACAAUACCCGAUGUCGGAUCAGGGCCAAGAUUGAGGUCAAUUUUUGCAUUAGCCACCCUCAACUUAGGCUUUUGGCCUAAGUUGAGGUGUACAUGUCCAAGGAGGGACAGAGGCCAAGACAAUAGAUUAUGGGAAGAUGAGUUACGAGUUGCUUAAGAAAUGGUCUCUUUUAGGCUCAAAGCAUUUGGAUCAACGGGAGCAUUCAUUUUCAUUUGGUUGGAUUCUUUUAGGCAUUUAGUGGACUAUUCAGAACAAUGGCUUAUGAUCACUUCCUAGCCUCUAGAGUAGAUUAUCUUCGCAGGACUAACCGGGCAAGUUCUAGAUUGGCACCACUUCUUUGAACAGCCAACGAUUCUCGCACACUCUUAGCACACAUUUCCAUUAUCAAAUUACGCAGUUCAAGUUUUUAGCUUAAGUCAUGAAAUCAAAUUUUUCAUUAUCAUGUCAUACUCAAAGCCAACACAUUCAACUUAUUCUAGUCUACAGCUUUUAGCACACAUUUCAAUAUCAUUGAACGGGUAUCAUUUUUUUCAACAAGCUCAUGCCAUCAUGCUUAUGUUAUCAUUCCUUCUCAUGCUUCUACACAUACAAUCCUAAACUUGCCGGUUCAACAAAAAUUAAGCAGUCUCUUGGGGAAAAAUAACAGAGGCAAGAAAACCCCAAGAGAGAAUUUUGAGUUGGGUUACUUAGAUUUCACCCUAUCACUCACAAUCAAUUUACCCCACCCCCAACAAAAAUAGGUGCAAUUGUCCCCAAUGCAGACAUAAAUCAGUAAAAAUUAAUGGAUUUGGGUGAAGCAAACCUGUGGCGCUUAGCGUCGAAGAAUCAUCAACAAAUGGGUGGGUCCGGUUUCCCAGAUUUCGCUACAGCAACAGUGGGGUCACCCUCAGUACUGCCCGUAUCUUUGGUCACAGCACCCUUACACUGGGGGUCAGUCUCACCGCACCCCAGUGGUGCUCACAUCAUCCGCCACAAGGGUUUUUAAAUUAGAGGUCGUCCGGGUCGAGUCGAUCAAGCUAGGGUUGGACCUACGAGACACUCUUACAGUCCAUAGAUCGAUCGACAGUCCAUAGAUAGGGACCGUAGAUCACCUUCACACUUUGUAAAAUUUCACACUUACCUAGGAUCUACGAACGCCAUUUACGGUCCGUAGAAUGAACUACGAACCGUCGAUGGGGUCCGUAAACCUCUGCACCAGACCAUUUUUCUGCAGAUUUUUGCCUUGCGCACCUGCACACGUAGCAACCAUUAGGCCAUUCUUUUUACAUUUUUCUGGACACUUUUUUAGACACGAACCCUAUGUUAUAUCUAGCCAACACUAACCAAGAAAUUAAAGCACCUAUCUAAUUGAGUACAAAGACGUAAUUAACCAAAGAAUCUACUAGACGCAAAACAAAACAUAUAGUUGGCUAGAUUGUACAUCUUAGGUUGCCUCCCAAGCAGCGCUUGAUUUAACGUCGCUGCACGACGCAUGUCCCUUGAUUACUCAAACUUCAUCAAGCUGUCAUGCCUCUAUCACUGUAUUUACACUCUCAUUUCCCAUGUAGAUUUUUAUCCUUCGUUGGUCGGCUUUGAACCUUGUCCCAUUCCUUUUCUCGAGCUCAACCACUCCAUGUGGGGACACUUGGGUGACUUUGAAUGGUCCAAUCCAUUGGGACUUAGAUCUUCUCGAAAAACAGCACAACCUUGAUUUAUACAACAACAUCAGAUUACAAGGAGCUAGUUUGCGCUUUUCUGUCUUUUGAGCAUGGUGUUUCUUUUCCGUAUACAAGGCUACACCUAACUUCUCCUUACUAAACACUUCAGCACCUCUUCCGAAAGUGUGACUCACCACCGAUACCGAUUUAAGAUGCAAUCAUAGACUUACAGACGUUAAAGGUCACCUCCUCCUUAUUUAGUUGAAACUUCAUCUGCCAUCUCUAUAUCGACUAAGGCACGCCCAGUAGCAAGGAAUGGUCUCCCCAAGAUGAUGGGGACCUCAAAGUCAGCUUCGCAAUUAAGUAUAACAAAGUCUGCCGGAAAAAUGAAUGGCCCCACUUUCACAGCACUCCAAUGGGAUUCUUCACAGUUCUAUCAGCCAUAAGUAAACGCAUCGCAGUUGGUUUUGGAGCUCUUAAACCCAACUUCUUAUAAAUAGACAAUGGCAUCAAGUUAAUGCUUGCACCCAAAUCACACAAAGCUUUUGCAAAGUGCAUCUUACCGAUGGUGCAUGGAAUAGUGAAAGCUCCAAGAUCAUUUUUCUUUUAUACCAGUGACCUCGUAGAAAUGGCACAACAAUGUUGCAACCUCUCACCAUUCUCAAAACUGACAGCCCUCUUUUUGGUCACCAAGUCCUUCAUGAACUUUGCAUACCCAGGCAUUUGCUCCAAAGCUUCUAUCAAAGGGACAUUGAUGGAAAGUUGUUUCAACAUAGUUAUGAACCUACGGUACUUUCCUUCUUCAUCCUUCUGCACUAACCUCUGUGGGAAAGGAUGUGGAGGUCUAGGCAUGGGGACGACCUUUUGGGUUUUCUCCGCUUCUUUCUGUGUAGCAUUCUUAGACUCUCCAGUCACCUCAGUCUCAUCAUCACCUUUUUCUACCACUUCAAUAUUCUUCUUUCCUCCGUGAGUCGUGAUUGCCAUAUAAUGCCCACCAUUCUUCGGAUUCUGGAUGGUGUUGCUGGGCAAUGUGCCCGACUGGCGUGCAUUCAUGGUAGCAGACAACUAACUAAACUGCUGCUCAAGCUACUUUAUCGACACUGCAUGGGCAUCAACUUUAUGGCCAAUUUCGAACAACUUAAUUCGCAUCUCCUUCAAAUUCUCAUCAGUCGCGUCAAACCUCCUCAUCAUUUUCUGCAUCAUAUCCUCAAUACGUGACAUAUUACCUCCAGCUUCCCUAGGAGCAGAAUCCCAAUUUUGAGGAGGAACAUAAGGUCCAACCCGAUCGUUUCUGUUGCCAUAGUUGUUCCAGUUGUAAUUUUUGUCGCGAUUGUAGUUCCCAUCCCGGACAUAUUAACCAUCGUGGUUGUAAUUUCCAUAGUUCUGACCUUGGUUUCCUUUACCUUGGCGCCAAUUAUCCGUGUUGGAACCUUGGGCGUUUGGUCAGAAACCCCUCGUCUACUCAUUCACCGCAUAAGCAUCCUCUUCAAAAUAAUACUCCUCUGUUGGUGGUGGAGUUCUGGUCAAAUAGUUCACAGCAUUUACCUUUUUCGCUCCUCCAGUCACAUGCUUUAACACCAACCCUAGUUCAGUUCUCAUUUGUGACAUCUCCUCGCGAAUCUCAUCUGCGGGCUGGUUGUUUGUAGCUUGAACGGCAAAUAUGCUCCUCCCAGUGUCUGACUUUCUAGUGCUCCAAGCUUUAUUAUUUCGAGAUAUCUUCUCCAUUUUCUCUGUAAUUUGUGCAAAAGUGCAUUCACCGUACGAACCUCCCGCAAUAGUAUCGAGAACUGCCUUACCAUUACCAUCCUGUCCUCGGUAGAAGUACUCCUUCAGCGACUCAUCAUCAAUACGGUAAUUCAGUACACCCCUCAUGAAGGUGCAUUCACCGUACGAACCUCCCGCAAUAGUAUCGAGAACUGCCUUACCAUUACCAUCCUGUCCUCGGUAGAAGUACUCCUUCAGCGACUCAUCAUCAAUACGGUAAUUCAGUACACCCCUCAUGAAGGCAGUGAACAUAUCCCAAGAACUACUCACAGACUCUCCAGGUAAUGCUACAAAGUUGUUGAGUUUAUCCUACUUGUUCAACUUCUUGGACACUGGAAAGAAUCUUGCUAAAAACGCCUCUGUCAACUGCUCUCAUGUAUGGAUUGAGUUAUAAGGGAGUUCAUUGAACCACACAACAGCAUCUCCGGUCAAUGAAUGGGGGAACACACACAACCCAAUGACGUUCAUAUCCCAAUCCAAUCGACCUAUACAACUUUUGCAGACAUGAUUAAGUUUGGCUAUGUGAGCAUGUGGAUCAUCCGUUGGCAACCCCGCAAACAAACCCCUCGUUGUAAGCUUUGCAUCAAGCUACUGGUCACCACAAAUGUAUGCCCCUGAGGUAGAGGUGGUAGGACAAGAGGUCCAUCAGAAUCGACAAUAUUAAGGUUGACCUUGAAAUUUUCAUGCAGACGUGGUCCUUGUGGUUCUUGUGCCCUCAGUGUAUCUCCCAAUCUAUUCUCAAUUGGAGCCUGAUUAUUCGCAUAAACUACCCUUGGAGGUUGCAAUCCAACACUUUCACCUAACUCUCCCCCGAUAGGGUUAACCGGAACUCCCUGAUCAUUCAUUCUCCGCAAAGUUCUAUUCAGUUCGGGAUCGUAGGGAGUAAAUGGUUCGCCUUGGCUCCGUGUACUGGGCAUACACUAGAGUAAGACCCUGAGAGAGACAAAAACAAAAGAAAAAGUAAAAUUAUGAAAUAUUUGACUAAAGUUCAAUAAUGCAAUUAAACUUAAUCUAAAAGCCUUAAUCCCCGGCAGUGGCGCCAAAAUUUGAUACGCUCAAAUUACACCUUUUUCAGGAGCAUAAGCGAUCAUUAUCACGUGAAGAACCAACUUGUAGGUUGGGGUCGAUCCCACGAGGAAUAUGGUUUAGACUUAAAUUCAAUAACGAUUAUAUUCGUUUAGCCAAUGUAUAUCCGAGACAAAUAAGAAAAAGAAGGGGGGGUUUGUGUAACAAAUUUUGGAAAUUAUGAAAGUAAUUAGCAAGCAAGAUUCAAACUUUUGUUGUUAUCAAAUUGUGAAGGAAACUAGGGCGUACGUGUUCCCCAUAAGUUCAUAAUUCCGUAAUCCUAGUAAUAGCAAUCCCUUCCUAGUGUAUCACAUGCAAAGCGAUAAGUUAUGUAUCUCUAAAUACUUGGUCCGGCAUCUAGAGAAUUUCACCCUGCACCUUGGUCCAUCUAUGUUUGUAUAAUUUACUAACCCUUACCAUUACCUCAUAUUAGACGUCACAUCGAUGUAUGGCUUAGUUUUCACCCUCGCACCAAUCGACAUUAAUUCUAUUAGAUAGUAUCACACUAAAUCGAAGUUGAUAAUUCUUUUCUUAUUAACUACAUCCUUGGUCUGGCAAGUAGCAACAAGGCGAGUUCUAACGUUACGCACCGUUAAAAAGACUUCUAGACGAAAGAAUUAUCAAUGCAUACAAAAACACUAUUCGGGAAUUACUUAGUUACUAUUCAUACUUCGUUAAUCGCUCAUGGUUCCCACAACCCUAGUUGUGGAUUUAGUUACCCAUAUUAGCAAGAAAAUAAUUCAUAAUGUUUGAAGAAUAAAUCAUGAACUUACGUAGUAGAGUAGAAUAAUCCUAGAAUUUCAACUUGAAUUUUGAAGUAAAAAUCACCAAAACGUGCUUAGGAAAUUAAGAAUUGCUAAAGUUGCAAGUUAAUCUCCCAAGACAAAAACUAGAACAAAGAUAAUAAUGUCUCACCUCCAAAAACGAGGUUUACAUCCCCCCUAUAUAUAGAAAAAUAAGUCCUAACUAAAAAGGAAACGAAAUAAGGAAAUAAAGUUGCAGGACGCGUCUUCAUUCUACGAGAUUGACCUACGGUCCGUAAGUCGAGCUACGGUCCGUAGGUCCCUUCUGUGGCUCAGGACUUAGGCAAUUUUUCUUUCUUCAAAAUCUGCAAAAUCUCUGUCGUAAUCGAUGAUUCAACAGUAUGGACCGUAAGUCUAUCUACGGUCCGUAACUCUUCUGCGUAACGCCACACUUAGAUUUUUUCACCAUCAGGUACUGGAACCAAUCUCUAAAUGAUUUGACAGAGCAACAGUACGGUCCAUAGAUCAAUCUACGGUCCGUAAGUCACAACUGUGGUUCCACACUUGGUCAAGAAUUCCCUGAUCUUCAGUAAUGCCUUUCCUACCCUUCUACAACUAUCAUCUACGGUCCGUAAGUUACCUCCGUAGAUGCCCUUUUCUGCAUUUCUUUCAGUUGUGUCUUCAAGUUUCUGCGCCUGAACCUAUUCCCUGCAAACAUGAGAAAAACACAUAUAAACUAAUACAAACUAGCCCUAGACACACACAACUCUCAAGUGAAAUGUAUCAAAAAUAUCGUAAACUCACGGUACAUCAGUAGUACAGCAUUUCUGCGAUUUGAUCAUGUCUGAUGUGCAAAUCAGAUUUCGACCUUAACACUACCUCAACUUGUAAACCUACACUCAGAUUCUUUCUUUUUCUUUUCUUUUCAAUUGUAUUACUCACGUGUUUACAAAGCUUUAUUAAAGAUAAAAGAAAGUUGUUCUAUAAGCUCAAGUGAAGUUGUGUGCUUCACACUAAAGUAUGGGGGUAGUUUAUAUAUGCAUAGACUCGUGCUCUUGUAAGGAAAACCCAAGGGGUAUUUAUCUCAAUCAAGGAUGAUUGAGAAAUUCCUUGAUGGAGGCGAUUUACUGAUCCAUGUCCAUAUUAGAUAUGUGCAUGGUAAAUCGCUUUCUCUAUCCUUCUUGGCUAGGCUGGCUUGAUUCUUUCCUUGUAUGAUCAGCAGAUCUCUAGUCUUUGACUUGAUUCACGACUCUUCCCUUUCUUGAUAACUCGAUUCUAUUUGAGGCUUUGAUUUGCUAAUCUUCUUGAUUUCGUCUUGUCAAUCAAGGUGCGCUUGAUUGAGUUAUUUGUUGGAUUUGGACUAUCUGUAUAGUGAUUAUGAUUCCUUAGAUUGAGGCUUUCCUUUCUAUCAAUUUCUAUAAUGAUCAAUCAUAUAUUUCUUUCCAUCUUGAUGUUGUCUGCACAGAUCAUUUCCUUUUUGAUUUCGUGGCCUGCGAGAAUUGUGAGCAAUGUGUUAAAUGUCUAUUUUCAAAAUCAACUAAUUCUAAGGAGUUAAUAGUUAUAUGAUGCCUCACUACUUGCUAGACAUGGUGAAGGUGACACCUUGUUUAUCCUAUCCUAUGUAGACGAUAUUAUUAUCGAUGGGAGCAAUAAUUUAGGUGUCAAUUAGGUUAUUACUUUCUUUGCUUCUAAGUUCUCUAUUAAAGAUUUAGGUAAUCUUCACUACUUUCUUGGUGUUGAAGUGAUACGCUGCUCUAACGGUUUAAUUCUCACUAAAGUAAAUUAUAUGAAUGAAAUUUUAAAUGAUUAACUAAUGACCGACUGCAAGAGUGUUAACAUGUCAAUGAGUGCAUCUGAUUUACUCACCUUGUCUGAUGGAACUUACUUGACUAAUAUUGCACGUUAUUGCUGAGUCUUGGGUAGGCUUCAAUACCUAUCUUUCAUUAGAACAGAUAUAGCCUAUGAAGUGAAAAAGUUGUCUCAAUUCAUGCAAGCACCAUCAGACCUUCAUUGGAAGGCUAUAAAAUGUGUUCUUUGAUACUUGUGUGGUACCAUUCAACUCGUCCUACGUGUUACUCCCAUUGAUGAAUUCAAUCUAUAUGUGUACUCUGAUGCAGAUUGGGGUGGGGGCAUCGUUGAUAGAGUUUCUACAUCUAGUUAAAUCUUGUUUCUUGGUCACAAUCUGAUAAGUUGGUCCGUAAAGAAGCAAAAUACUAUCUCACACUCCUCCACCAGGUCUGAAUAUAUGGCAGUGGCUAAUGCACUUUCUGAAACCUCAUGGGUCACCUAUCUCCUAAAUGUGCUGCAAUUUCGAGUACAUCACUUACCCAAAAUUUAUUGUGACAAUCUUGGAGCCACAUUCUUGAGCAAGAAUCACGUCCUCCAUAGUUGUGUGAAGCAUGUUGCCGUGGACUUUCACUUUGUUUGCCUCCAUGUUAACAUCAAAAGGGUUCGUGUAGUUCAUGUUCAUGGUGCCAAUCAAAUAGUUGACACUCUCACCAAAGCACUGCCUAAAUCUUCUUUUGAGACUAAUAUGUUCAAGUUAGGUUUGGUAACUCAUCGCCUAACUUGAGGGGGCGUAUUAGAACAUCACGAGUUAGUUCAGACAUCAGUUAGUAGUUUAGUCGUAUUAGGAUACUGCAUUAGUUAGUUCAACAGUUAUUAUUUAUUUAGAUUACUUUUGACUCAGUUCGUUUAGAAGUCGUAUUAUUUUUCCUAUAACUCUAUUUAAUACCCAGCUACCUUCAUUAAUAAAAUGUACUAUUCAAGCACAUAUUCAGUCUUUAUAAUUACUAGAUUUGCCCGGUGGCAUGGACUGUCUACAGGUGCAUUUUCUCACAGUAUGGUGAUGUGGAGGAUACCAUAAAAGUUCCAGGGAUGUCUAUUGAUCCUAAGAUUAAGGACUCUAUCACAUAUUAUUUUGGAUAUAAUCCAAACUUCAUGGGACUAGUUGUCAUUGUAUUGGUCAGUUUUGCAGUCUUUUUUGCAUUCAUGUAUUCCUACAGCAUUAAGACACUGAACUUCCAGAGGAGGUAGAAAUAUCUUAAUAGUUACAGACUUACGGUGAUUUGUAAUUAUUAGAGUAAAUAUCUCAAAAGGUCACUCAAGUAUGUGAAAUUAUUUGAAAAAGUCAUUCAACUUAGUUUUAUAUCAACAAAGUCAUUCAACUUAUGUAUUUUCUUUUAUAAAGUCACUCAAGUUAAACUAUUUUUUCUACAAAAUCAUUAUACCCAAAAGAUAAAAGAAAUAAUUGCACAAAUCACCCUUCAAGUUUAGUUUUUAAUAUUUACUUCCAUUGUAAUUUAUAAUAUUAUGUUUAUCUCUCUUAUUUAUUUAUUUAUUUUUAAAUAAUAAUUGUCCUAACUUAAUAAUAGGGAUAUAUUAAUAUCAUUAAUUUUAUUUAUGAUAUUUUAUAUUUAAAUAUUAAAAUUAUAGAACAGGAGUGUUUGAUUAGCCUAUAAACAGUAAUCUUACAAAAUAUUUUUCAUUUAAAUUAAUGUUUUCUUUUAUUUAAAAAAAGAAUAAUUUUUGUAGAUAUUUUCACCAUUGUAAUUAAUGCAUUUUCUAUUUUUCAUUCUUAUUAUACGAUUCUAGCAACAGUAAUAAUUCUUUCUUUUAUUUUUUAAAUUUCUCCUCAUAAUACUUUAAAAAUAAAUUUACAAGCAGAUUAAAUAAUGUGCAAUAUUAAUAUUUGAAUAUAAAAAUAUAAAAUGAAAUCAAUGAAUUCGAAGAUUUGUAGGGAUUAUCUUUCUUACCGAACUUAAGAAAUUAUUUGAUCAAAACUUAUUCACUAAAUUAUGAUUGUGAUAUUGGUUAAUAUGAUAUAAUCUUGACCUUUAAAAUUUAAAUAAGACAUAUGCCUCUCAUCUAGAUGUGCAUUUGACUACAUGAAACAAGUAAUGGAGGGGAGCCAAAUCUAUAUUUUUAUAUUCAUAAUAAUUAGGUUAAGAAAAUAACUAUUAAUAAAAAAAUAAGAGAGGUAAGUAUAAUAUUAUAAACUAAAAUGAAAGUAAGUAUUACAAAACUAAACUUGAAGGGUGAUUUAUGCAAUUAUCUCUUUUAUCUUUUGGUUAUAAUGAUUUUCUAGAAAAAUAAUUUAACUUGAAUGACUUUAUAAAAGAAAAUCCAUAAGUUGAGUGACUUUAUUGAUACAAAAUCAAGUUGAGUGACUUUCUCAACUAAUUUCGCAUACUUGAGUGAUCUUUUGAGAUAUUUACUCUAAUUAUUAUCAUAGGUCACCAUUGUCGCAUAGGAGAGUAUGGUAAUUAUUACAUAUUAAGCUUAACUCAUAAGAUGUAAAGAGUGACCAACAAGCUUAACCAUUGACAUGAUAGAUCUUGAGAAAUGACGAUUGUCUGCGUCUCUUAAAGUUUAGUUCUAAUAAUUGGUAUCAAGAGCCUAUAUCACGUUAAAUCCUUGAGUUUACUUAGUUAUGAAUUUAGGGAGUGAAUUUGGGGAAAUUUAGGAUAAUGAAUAGAAAAUGGUAAUUUGGGGCUUAAAAGUUUUAUAUAGCGCUUAGGGUAGAAAGCAAAACGACAUAGUAUUGGAUUAAAACAAUUAGAAAAAGACCCAAAAUCCCUUUAAAAAAUAAUUGUCGAACUCGACCUAUGGGUCCGACCUGUGGACCAUAGGACUUUCUAAGGUCCGUACUGGUCAAUCGUAGACCAAGUAUUGGACCAUGAAAUAAAUUAUCUUUUGACGUAACACUUCUACAGCUCGUAGGUCUUUUUACGGUCCGUAGUCACCAACCGUAGAAACCAACUUUAACCCUCAAAAUUUCACUAAGUAUGGGACACACCUAAGAGACCUAUCUACGACUCGUACAAGGAAUGACAGGCCAUCCUGGUGAACCGUAAAAAGGAUACUAGACUUGAUUUGGAAAAUUUAUUUUCCCCCUUCCUACAAUUUUCAUCUACGGCCCGUGAAGCUUGUACGGUCCGUAGAGGAUUCUGUAGACACAGCCUGCAACCCAAAAACUUCUUUUCUUUCUUUUCCUAAUUUCGAGGUGUUACACCUUCAUCGUCCCCGGCCUCCAAGGGAUGUGUCACCCCUUUACCCAAAAGUCAUGCUUGCAUCGAUUUUACUACAAAUCAGUGUUUCUAAAGUACCUUACUAUCAAAAUAGCAAGAAUACGGGCAUUCCAACUCCUAAAUCAUGCCCAAAUCUAAGUUCAAUCUAUGAACAACCCUUCAACUCCCCCCAUUAUUUCGAACCCAUUUUCGGUCCUUUUUUCCAUAAUCCUUGCACUCAGAAUGUUGUAAUAGAGUUGUAAACGCAAAGGAAGUCCCAUGCUCCAACAAUUUCAACAAACAAGAGCAAAAUUUCAAAGUCCAAUAUUUAACCCAAAAACUCUAAUCUACUCUUAUCAAAUUUUAGCAUGCAGUAAUCAGUAUGUACUUAAUGAAGGCAUAAGAGUAGAGAGUGUGAUUGUUACCUUGAUUUCAAUGUUUAGGGAGAAGUGAUUAGAGAGAGUUUGGAAAAUCAAAGAGGUGAAUGGGAAUGAAAAACAUUCUUCUCCCAUAUAUUCCCUUCUGAUCCAUGACAAGCUGCUAUAGUGGCUUGAUGGCCUCUAUAGCAGCAUCCUGACCACUAUAGCGGGGUCCAGCUUAGUAGGCGAAAAGAAAUCUUGUAUUAACCAUCCAGACCAAAAAUUCACCUUUUUAUCUUAUUCACCGACCCAAUAUGGCAACAUCGAUCGGUUGCCUCUUAUAUUCACAACCUCCUUGUCCUUUUUCUCUGUAGGCAAUGUUGCAGAUUUGCAUAUAGCACAGUUAUUCUUCACAGUUAACCACUUAUUUAUGCACUCUUCAUGAUACUCAGGCCUACAAUGAAGAAUGGCAAUCUUUUCCCCAUCCUUGUAGUCAGUCUACAAUAACGCGUGUAACAUAUGAAUGUCAUCAGAGCUAUCUCAAAGAAAUAAGCAACAAGAAAAGGAAUAUAUCUCUACUAAAAAGAAAAUCGAGGAAAAUUUUAACACCACAAAAUUGUAUACGGGAGUAAUAGUCAUGCAGAAGUAAUAAAGGAUGCACAAUGCCUAUUUAGUGCUAGAAGUUAACCUCCAUAAGCUCACCCUACGAGUAAAGAAAAUUGUCUGUGUCAUAUGCCAGAUAUUACCCCUGCAGAAAAUCAUAAUAUUCUUAUAUCGAUUAUAAGUCAAUGAAAAGGUAAGACCUGGCAUAUGACACAAACAUUUUAUUUACCCGAAGGUGAGAUUAUAUAUAGAGGUUAGCUUCUAGCACUAAAUAGGCAUUAGGCAUCCUUCAUUGCUUCUGCAUGACUAUUACUCCCGUAUACAAUUAUGUGAUGUUAACAUUUUCCUUUAUUUGCUUUUCAGUAGAGCUAUAUUCCUUUUCUUGUUGCUUAUUUCUUUGAGAUAGCUCUGAUGACAUUCAUAUGUUACACGCGUUAUUGCAGACUAACUAAAAGGAAGAGGAAAAUAUUGGUAUUCUUUAAUGUAGGCAUGAGUAUCAUGAAGAGCUAGUGUGUAAAGAAGUGGCUAGCUGUGAAGAAUAGUUGUGCUAUAUGCAACUUUGCAGCAUUUCCUAUAGAGAAAAAGGACAAGCAAGUUGUGAAUACAUGAGGUGAUUGAUGUUGCCAUAUUGGGUUGGUGAAUAACAAAAAAGGGCGAGCAUUUUUGGUCUCGGUGGUUAUAACGGGAUUUCUUUCCGCCCACUAUAGCGGUCACCCAGCCGCUAUAGCGGUUUGUCGCGGAUCAGAAGUGAAUAUAAGGGAGGGGAAUGGGUUUCAUUCCCAUUUCCCUCUUUGACUUCCAAAACUCUUUUUAAUCACUUCACCCCGAAUGUCAAAAUCAAGGUAACAAUUACGCUCUCUACUCUUAUAUCUUCAUUACGUACAUAUUGAUUACUACUUGCUAAAAUUCAAUAGAGUAGAUUAGAAUUUUUUGGUUAAAUAUUGGAAUAAUUUUUCUCUUGAUUGUUGAAAUUGUUGGAGCAUGGGGCUUCCCUUGCAUCUACAAUGCUACUACAAUGUUGUCUUCUUGUGGUUCAAAUAGAAGGGAAAGUUUAGAUUUGGGUUUUCUUCCACUAUUGCUCUAUCAUGCACCUUUGUUUGUGCUUGCCUUUCCCAACACAUACUACACUCUUAUACUAUACACAAUGGUUGGCUUUGAGUUGACAGCAGCUAAAUUUUUCUAGAUCUACUUUGUGAACUUCUUCUCCUUCCUAUAUUUUACGUACUACGAAAUGAUGAUUGUUGCUAUCACACCAAAACACCAUGCAGCUUCAAUCUUCGCUGCAGCUUUCUUCUCGCUUUUCAAUCUCUUCUCAGGUUUCUUCAUCCCCAGACCAGAAGUUUACUCUUUCACACAAGUCCAAAAUAACAUGUUAAAUAUUGAACCUAACAACAAUGCUAAUUCUUCUUGCUAUCAUUUCAGAGAAUUUCAAAGUGGUGGAUUUGGUAUUACUGGAUUUUCCCGGUGGCAUAGACUGUCUACGGGUGCAUUGUCUCACAAUAUGGUGAUGUGAAGGGUACCAUAAAAGUUCCAGGAAUGUCUAUUAACCCUAAGAUUAAGGACUACCUCAUAGAUCAUUUUGGAUAUAAUCCAAACUUCAUGGGACUAGUUUCCAUCUUAUUGGUCAGUUUUGCAGUCUUUUUUGCAUUCAUGUAUUCCUACAGCAUUAAGACACUGAACUUCCUGAGAAGGUAGAAAUAUCUUAAUAGUCUCAUAGUAGAGUAUGGUAAUUGUUGCAUAUUAUGCUAAACUCGUAGGAUGUAAAGAGCGACCAAUAAGGUGUCCACCUCUAUAAAGAUGUAUUGCAUUUGAAAGUUCUGUAAAUAACUACUUAUGUUGCAUUUAUAAAAGAUUACAGUAUUAAUUUCAGGCCUUGUCUUAUCAUCAACAACAACAUACCCAGUGUAAUCCUACAAGUGGGGUCUGGGAGGGUAGCGUGCACACCAUACUCCUACCUCAUACUAAAAAUUGAACGUCAGUCUGUUCCUUGAGAACUCCACUUAUGUGAGUUUCAUAAAGUAUAGAUGAUCGCAUAUCCGGAUAUAGAGGGUUGUGGUAGUUCUUUUUUAUAACCGACUUAUUGACGGGAUACCUUCCACCUCAGGUACAAGAAAAAUAUAGUACAACAAUUAGUUUUACAAACACAUUGCGGUGUAAGAUGUUAUUUUACACCAUGUUAGCUAGCAUUUUCACAUUUCAGAUCAAACCACACUAGGUAUGGCACUCAGAGCGAAGAAUUGAUUGCACCUUCAACCAACUUUUAUCUUGGCAUUAAGAAAUAAAAGGCAUCAUCCCAUCGAGAAGGCUACUUAGGAGGUCGAGCUUAACAUGCAGAUCAGAUAUCCUUGAACUAAAACUUGAAGCUAUGAAACCCUACUUCUUGCUUGAGAGGAGUUUGAUCAUCCUGAUUUGUUUCUUGAGUUCUAUGCAUGAAUGGGGAGGGUUAUGUCGACUAAACUCCCAUUAAUCCCAGUUAGAAUAGGCUAAAACGUCAUAGUGUAGGGAUUAAAAGAGUGGGAAAAGACCAAAACAAUCCUGAAAGAAAAUGACAUUGGCAGGUUCUAUGAUCCCAUCUACGGUCCGUGGAUUGAUCUACGGACUGUAGAUCCCAUCCGUAGAAUUCAAGCUAAAUUUUUUAAUUUCUGAAGUUCCAUCUAUGAGAUCAAUCUAUGGUCUGUAAUUAAAUGUACGGGCCAUAGACUUAGUCCGUAAAAGUUAGACAAAAUGUGAGUUUCAGAACAUUGAUCCACGGGACCAUCUACAACCCAUAAUAGUAUUUACAGCUCGUGGUCCUUGUUUGUGAAACUCAGAGUGAAUCUCUAAUCUCUGAAGUUGAUCUAGGGAUCCUAUCUAUGGUCUGUGGUUUCAUUUAUGUCCUGUCCUGUCCUGUCCUGUAGAUGGCAUCCGUAAGUCCCAAAUUUUUCUGCAGACUUAAUUUUCUCAGCUUCUUAUGAUUUGAUCUGGACUUAGAACUUGUGAAAUGUUACACUUGUCAAGGCACCUUAUUUUUGGCAAUUAACUAACAUUUUUAUUAAUCACCAGUAAAUAUAUACAAAGACAGAGUCAGUCAAACCUGAUUGCUCAUUGCAAAUAUCCAACACAACUACAAUGCCUUCUGGAUGUCUACUUUGAUCAUACAUCUAGGUAACACAUCCUUAUAUGUAACUUUUUACUAGUUCAUGACUGAGAAUAAUAUGAAUAGAAAUAUUAAUCAUUCAGUUGGCUCUAGUUUUCAUACAGGUAAAGAAAUACUUGUUGUUGUUGUCUUCUACUUCAAGCCAGUGAGCCUUAGAUUUCUGUUUCAACACCUUCUCAUGAAGAUCAGAUCACUUUUGAACUUCAACUAAAGCUUCUUUUUCUAUGUCAAAGAGAGUGUUAGAUUUCUGUUUCAUUGUUUUGCCCAAUCCACUUUUGCACUUGAAUCUUGAUCCCUCAUAUUUGGAGGUUGAAUGUUUCUACCCUCAAGGCACCUUAUUUCAUGUACUUUUUAGAUGAGGAAAAUGAUCAAAUAUGUCAUCUUGAGAAAAGGCACAUCUAUGUCAUCCGUCUUUAAAGUUUGGCUCAUCUAUGCUAUUUUCGUUUAAGAAGAAAAAAAUGGAUUUUUCAAAACCAUUUUUUACACGUGGUCAAUUAUGAUUCGGCCACGCCAUUAAUUAAAUUAUUUUUAAAAAGGAAAAGGCUCAAAUAUGCUAUCGAACUUUGCGAAAAUAUUCAUCUAUGUCAUCCAUUUAAAGUUUGGCUCAUCUAUGUUAUUUCAGUUAACAAAUAAUGGUAUGGAUGAGCAUUUUCUCAAAUGGAAAUAGCAUAGAUGAACAAAACGUUUAACGGAUGACAUAAAUGAGUCUUUUCUUAAAGUUUGAUGGUCUGUUUGAGCCUUUUCCCUUUUAUAUAUUAUCAAAACCUACUCUUUUAUGAGUUAAUUAAAAAAGUUAUUGAUAUAAAUAUUAAAAAUUAGAUAAGAUCUUUCAUACAAUAAUUGUUUUUUAGGAAAAAAUAUAUUAUGAUUGUGGAGAACUUUCUUCCGUUGCAUGAACAAUUUAUAAUUGUUUUUCUUCUUUCUUGGUAUUUGUAUUGAAUACUUUUGUUUUUCUUAUGAAAAAGGUUUGUACAAAAUAUUUUUGGGAUGAAGAAGAGGAAAAAGAGAAGGGGUUAAAAUUGUUCAAAAAUUUAGUGAUUGUAUGAGGGUAUAUUUUAUUCUGUUCAACUAUAGUUCUCAUGUAAUUCAUUUUUUAAUUUAUAUUUUAUGAAUUGAAUUGAAAUUUUUUUUGGACAAUUUAAUUCAUUGCUUUUGAAAUAUUAAUGACAUAUUUCAUAUACUGAAAAUUGAAAUUAUUGAUACGGUUAAAAAUAAAAUUUAAAAUUUGAAAUCAGUUAAGAUCAAAUUAUUUUAAGAUCUUCUUUUUAGUUAAUUGAGAAUUAAUAUUAUCAAGCAUAAACUAUAUAUGAAGAACUAAUUGAUUCUUGUGGUUCAUUUUGAUCAAUUCAAUUUUUGCGCUUUAUUCGCUUUAAAAUAAGCUUAAAUCACCAUAACUAAUUAGCAUAAAAUCUUGCCACGUGAAAUUACGAGUGAAAUCAAGACUAAAUAAAUACUCCUUCCGUCCCUACUUAGUUGUCCACUUUAGAAAUGGCACACAGAUUAAAACAGCAAUGAUUAGCAUAGUGAAGUUACAAUUUUACCCUUAUAGUACAAUUUACAAUUCCAAAAUAAAUUCAUUCAAGAUAACUAAUCAAUGUUGAGAAGUUCAUAAGUUUAUUUACUUUAUUUAUGACAAUUUUAUUUAAAUAAGGGUAUAUAAUAGGAAAAAAUUUGUUGUCCUUUCUUGAUUUGUCAAAAUGGACAACUAAAUAGGGACAACUAAAAGAGGAAAUAUGGACAACUAAAUAGGGGCGGAGGGAGUAUCAAAAGACGUAAAAAAAAAAUAUAUAGAUGAUGAAAUUACUCCCUUCGUCCAACAAUAGUUGUCCACUAUACUAAAAAUAGUUGUCCAACAGUAUUUGUUCAGUUUAGAAAAUCAAGAGAUAAUUUACAUUUUGUGUCUAUUAUACCCUUGCUAUUAAAUAUUGUUCCUUCCAUUUCACAAAUUGUUGAGGUGUUUCAGACCCUUAAAGAAAAGAAGAUUAAGAUAUAAAUAAUGCAUAGUUUCCAUUUUUACCCUGAUUAAUUAUUGUCAAAUUUAUGCUUAAAAUAACUAAUUCUAAUACUAACUAAUGAAGGGUAAAAUUGGAAGAAUAUUCUAAAAAUAGUCUUGAAGAUUGAACAAUUAAGUUAAUUUGAAAAAUGAAAAAUGUCUCAACAAUUCAAUUAAUUUGAAAUGGAGGGAGUAUUUAUCAUCUAACACAUUUAUCAGAGCAUUAAAUUUAAUAAAAUCAAAGGAUAAAACAGUAAUAUUACCUUAUAUUAUUUAUUGUUUCUUAAGGGGUGUGAUAAGUCAAUAGUGGACAACUAUUAUUGGACAGAGGGAGCAUACGCUUACAAACUCAUAAAAUUGCGUAUGUUUUUCAAUUUAUAAUCUUUGACACGUUGUAAUUGUUAGAAUUACUUUUGUGGGCUUUCAUAGAGGGAGUAUACGCUUACAAACUCAUAAAAUUGCGUAUGUUUUUCAAUUUAUAAUCUUUAACACGUUGUAAUUGUUAGAAUUACUUUUGUGGGCUUUCAUAGAAAUUGUGUGAAGCAUAAUUGUAUGUUCAUUUCUGUCAUUGGAAGGCUAACCCAAUUAAAGUGAUCGGCUAAGGUUUAAAAUUAAGGAAAAUUUAAUUAAACACACAACUUAUUUUAUCAUAUUUUAAAAAAAAUUCUAUCAUUUGAAAAAUAACAAAAAUUCCUACUCUUUUCUAUUCUCGGACACAUCACUUUACGCGAUGUAUCGGUCGGAUACAUCACUUUACGUAAUGUAUCGGAACGUACGUGAUGUAUCAAAACGUAUGUGAUGUAUCGGGAUGUUGGGUGAUGUAUCUGAAAAUGAGACGCAAUGUAUCGAAACGUUGAAAUAUAUCUAAAACCGGGACACGAUGUAUUGUGGCAUUUUUUAAUGUAUCCAGAUUCCACCAAAUUUAAGGAAUUUUUUUAUAAUUUGAAAAAGAAUAGGAAUAGGGUGUAAUCAGCUCUUUAACAGUGAGAUUUGUGUAAAAUUUCCAAUUAAUGGGUCUAAAGGAUACCUCACAGAGUAUGGGAUCUUAGGUAUAGAUACUCAAAUGUAGAGUUAAUAUCUCAUAUGGUCACUCAACUUUGAAUUGUCCUCUUAGAAAGUCACUCAACUUUGAGUUGUUACCUUAGAAAGUCACUCAACUUUGUUAGAUAACUUAAAAGUGACUCACCUAUUGAUUUUCACUUAGAAAAUCACUCAAUUAUUGAUAUUUCACUUAGAAAGUCACUCAAUCAAUUUAAAUAUUUUUUUCAUAAAAUUUUAUUGAAAUUUAAUUUUUAUGUUAAACUACUUUUUUUAAAGAAAUAAUAAGAUAUUUAUUUUAAUUAUUUUGUUUAUCCAAAUUAUUUAAUUAUAAUUUUUUUUGGAAAACGUACCGUAGCAAUUGACCAAAAAAAAAAACUUUUUCCAUUUUAUCAAUUAUAUAACUGGAAUUAAAUAUGUUAAAAAUGAUCCAAAAAAGAAGAAGAAGUUGGAAUUGAUAAGAAGUACCAUAAAAAAUAAAGACGCAGCACAGUACCAUUUUUUUAAAAAAAAAUAGGUAAAAAGAAAAAUUAUACUUCAAAAUAAUUCAAUAAAAUAAUUAAAAUAAGCAUGUUAUUAUUUAUUUUUUUUAAAAAUAGUUAAUUUUUUUUUUGUAUUUUACAAAAUUUAAUGAAAAAAUUAAAUUAAAUGAGUUGAGUGACUUUUUAAGUAAAAUAUCAAUAGUUAUAUGAAUUUUUAAGUGAACUAUUAAUAGCUGAGUGACGUUUGAGUUAUAAAACAAAGUUGAGUGACUUUCGAAGUGAACCUCAAAGUUGAGUAACUUUCUAAGUAAACUAUUGAAAGUUGAGUGACCAUAUGAGAUAUUAACUCCUGAAAUGUAAUUUCUAAUUAACCGAUGGAUUAAAUUAGAGUUACCUAAACUUGUGCCUAUUAUAAGUAGUAUAGUGUUAUGGUACCCAGUUCAGACUUAGGUUUUCUUAGCCCAUCCGUGAAAAGGAAAACUUAUGUCAUCAAUUUCAAUUUAUUUGUCUUACUUUAUUUUUUAGCCUGUUUAAAAAUUGUCUAUUUUGUUAUAAAAUGUUAUAGUGUGGAUGUCCUCAACACCAAAAAGUUACUCUCACUAAUUAUCUCCACUAUGAAGAUAACCUCCACAUUUAUGACCAUUACUCUUGUAACCUUACACCUUCAUAAUCUCUUCCAUUAUCUUCAUGAUUAAUGUCAUGGUUAUGACUAAUUUUUUGUAGGCCUCUAUGUAACACCAUAAAUAUAGGCAUAAGGUAUAUUGUAUACACUUGAAUAUUUAGAAGAAUAAGAAAACUAUCAUCUCUUGUCUCCCUAUUUCUAGUGCACUCAACUUAUAUGUUUCUUGUCUACUUUUUUGCCUAUAUUAUUACUUUUUAACUUAGAUUUGUAACAUAUUUUCUUUUUUGACAUUUUCUUAAUUUUAUUUUUUCACAUGAUAUGUUUAAUACUAUGAUUAAUAGUCAUUUUAUAUAGUGUACAUAUCUUUAGUCUUAGACCACAUUAAAAAAUUCUUUACUUUUUUAAAUUUUGAAAUAAAUCAAAACGAAGAAAGUGUUUUUAGACAAAACAGUCACAGGGUUGUUUGUCCAUAGCAAGAAAUACGAUGACACACUGCUCUUCAAGACAAUAUAUAAUCUACUCUCUCCGUUUCUAUUUAUAUGCCAUCAUUUUGAAUUUCAUGUGCAUUAAGAAACUACGCAAGUUUACUAUUCUACCCUUAUUUAAUUUUUUGAAACUCAAGUUUUCAAUCAAUGAAUAUGAAUUAAUUUAUUUUGAUUAAUUAAUUUAACCAAUGAACAUGAAUCAUAUACUUAGAUUUUCUAAGUUGGUCAAAUGUAUAUUUUCAAGACUAAUAACUCACAGGAUAAAAAGAGAACAAUAUGAUAAUUUAUGCAUUAAUUUUAUAAAAUAACAAGUAUUAUAGACUAAUUAUUUAUAAAAAGGGAUGACACAUAAAAAGGAACGAGGAAAUAGUAAAUAAAAGAUGAUGUAUUUUUUGAUAGAAACAAGAAAACAAGUGGAAAUAUAAAAACAAGAGGUCCUGGAUUUCCACAUCUAUAAUUAGACUUUUAUACCUAAAAAGUAAACUGGAAUGAAUUGUUCUAGCUUCUUAGGAUAUUUUAUAUAUAUAUAUAUAUAUAUAUUCAGCAAGUAGGAAUUUUGUAUUUGUUAAUGAUAGAUAAUGAUUUUAAUUUGGAUGUUACACGUCUAUCUUGUUUGUGCUACACGCAAAGACAAGAAAAUCAUUAAUUAGGGCUCUCGCAAUCCACGUGCUAUUCCAAAAAUAAUUUAUAGUCAUAUAAAUAUUUAUGACUUGUUUUAAGGUAAAGUUUUUUUCAAAAAAAAAUUAUUCUUAAAAUUUUAUGUCCAAUCAAAUACCAUCUCAUAAAUGAAACAGAUAAAGUAAGAGUAAUGAAAAAAAUACAGUUGAAUGUCUUUGGCCUAUCUAAUUUAUAAAAUAGGUAUAUAUUAUAUAAGUAUUGUAUAUUUUAUACUAAAUGUAUAUACAAUCAAGUUGUGUAGAUAAUGUAUAUUGCGGCUACGGGCUAUGUCGCCAAACUAGAUGGUUGAAGGGUAUAUUUACGUAAAUAAUUAGUGGAGGCUGACCAUGAAUAAUGAGGAGGAAAAAAUGAUGAGAAUUUUUGGUAGGAAUUAAAUUAUAUAAGAAGGACAUUAUAUUCACCUUAAACAAAGAUAACUAUGUACUCGGGAGGACUCGAAUUCGAGAUCUUUGAUUAAGGAUAAAUGACUACUUACAACUUCACCAUUAUCCUUGGUGAUCACCUCUACUUACGAUUCUGCAAAUGUAUGUAGGAUUAUGGGUAGAUAGAGUGAUAUAUAUAGUAGAAACCAAUGUACAUAAAAUAAUUUUCUUAUUUUUUAGGAAAAAAAUAAAUAAAAAAUUGUUUAUUUGUGGGGUUAUUGCCUAGGGAGAGAAGGGGAUCCCUAUCCCAAAUCAUUGGUGUUGAAAUUGUUCAUCACAAGUAAUCAAGUAGAAGUCUUUGUUGUCCUUUUAUGGAUGAGGAUGGUAGUGUACAUGCCAUGUAUUCAAAAAAAUUAAAUUAAUGUAGACCAUUUCACAUAAUUCAGUUUAUUAUCUUAUUAAUUUGUUAUUCAAUUUCUAUUUUCAUAUAUUUCAGUAUCAUAAAAGAAAGUAAUAUGACUAAUGUAGCAUAACACUAUGUGUGAAAUGUCUUUGAGCCUUGGAUUUUGGACUCCAAAGAUAACUAUGAUUCCAUAUAUUAUCUAAAAGAAAAUGAUAUUUAAAUUUCACUUACUAUAAAAUUGUAAAUCUAACUUCAAAUUAAAGAAUACAAGUAGAGAAGAAAGGAUUGUCCAUAAGAAGCUAAUCUAGCGAUCAAGGAAAUAAAAAUUCAUAUUCCAAUAGAAAUGAACUAGGUUUGAGUUUUUCACUCCUAUUUACAUUUUAAUAGAAAAAUUAUUUUACUUUGUGUUGCUACAAACUAAUACUAACAUUAUCAUCAAAAGAUCUAGUGUAGUGGAUGAGACUGUUUAUUUCCCAACUAGAGGUCUUGAUUUUUAAUCCUAACUAUUCAAAAAGUUUUGGUAGGCAGCAUUACCCGAAAUGAACCAUAUUUGUCGGAUGCAAAUCUGAAUUAAUUGAACUAUAAUAUGAGUAAUGAACAUUGAAUGAGAGACAAAAAAAAAACGACCACUAAACUAGCCACAAAUAGAAGUUCUUCAUUCAUUAUUUUUUACUUGUCUACUUUGACUUUGUAAGUCUAUUAAAAAAAAGGUAAAAGGUUCAAAUAUGACGUCAAACUUUGAAAUCAAAUUCAUCUAUGUGAUUCAUUUAAAAUUUGGCUCAUUUAUGCCAUUUAUAGAAAUGGUUCAUCUAUGCCAUUAUUUGUUAAUUGAAAAUAAUUUUCAUUUGGCAAAACUAUUUUUUACACAUGGUAAAUUAUGAUUUGGUCAUGUCAUCAAUUAAAUAAUUUUUAAAAGGAAAAAAGCUCAAAUAUGUCGACCAACUUUAAGAAAAGGUUUAUCUAUGUCAUUCGUUAAAAAUUUGGCUCAUCCAUAUUAUUUCAGUUAACAAAUAAUGAUAUGAAUGAGCUUUUUCCGAAAGAAAAAUAAUAUAAUGGAUGACAUAGAUCAAUUUUUUUCUCAAAUGACACAUGUGAACCUUUUCGCUUUAAAAAAAUAACGGUUGCUAUAUUUAGUGGCGUAGCCAGAAAUUUCACAAAGGGUGUCCAAGAAUCGCAUAGGUAAAAAAAAAAGUUAACUAUGGGUGCACUAAAAUUUUGAAAUCAAACUACGUAACAUUAACAAAAAAAAUUUUAAAUUAAAAAAUAUACUAAAUUUUUUAAAAUCAAACCACAUAAAAUUUAGCUUGAAUUUUCAUGUUUAUUUAAUAGGAAGUGAACGAAAAAGAAAAAAGAGAAAGAGAAAAUUCAGUUUAUAAUGAAAUCACUUUUAUACUUCAAGAUUUCACCAACCUUUGGUGAAUUAACAACAAGAUAUGAAAAAUAAAGANNNNNNNNNNNNNNNNNNNNNNNNNNNNNNNNNNNNNNNNNNNNNNNNNNNNNNNNNNNNNNNNNNNNNNNNNNNNNNNNNNNNNNNNNNNNNNNNNNNNNNNNNNNNNNNNNNNNNNNNNNNNNNNNNNNNNNNNNNNNNNNNNNNNNNNNNNNNNNNNNNNNNNNNNNNNNNNNNNNNNNNNNNNNNNNNNNNNNNNNNNNNNNNNNNNNNNNNNNNAUGUUUUUUUUUGUUAUAGUUUUAAGUUGUAGGUCUCUAAUUUGAGAUUAUUCUAAUAGACAAUAUGAGUUUUGAAUUGUUGAAAAAAUAACAUCUUUAUUAAAUAUGAUUAGGUCUCUAAUUAAUAUUUUUAAUAGAUAAUAUUAAUUUUGAAUUAUUAAAAACAUAACUGAUUUAUUAACUAUAAUUAGAAAUUAAUUAGGAACUUUUUGAAAAUGUAAAAACAAAAUGUAGAAACUGUGAUUCGAACCCGUGCAUGCGCGCAUUAAUAAACCUUCACAUUGAGCAAAGAUACCGCUGGGCUAAGAAACUUUACUAUGCUUAAGGGUGUACAAAAUGUCUUAUUUAACCAUUUAAAGUAUAAUUUUACUUAUAUAUACAAUGUAAUUUUCUGAUGAAGGGUGUCCAAUCUGAGCAUAGUGUACCUCCGCCCCUGGAUAUAUUUAUGUGUGGGCCCACUGCAUAAUAUUACUCCAUAUGUCUCAAUUUAUGUGGCACUUUUCAUUUUUUGAGAGUCAAAUAGUUUAAGUUUGAUCGAAAAUUUAUGCAUAAAUCUUUAAUUUUUUUUAAAUGAAAUUUAUAUAUUUGUAAACUAUAUAGAAAAUACUAUAAGUCACAAUAAUUAAUAAUUCAAAAUGUUUAAAAGAUAUAUUAAAAAAUUUAUGAUUAAAAAUAAAUUUAUUUGAAUCUCAAAAUUUUAAAAAUGUCACAUAAAAUAAGACGAUGAAAGUAUUAUUUUGCUUGUAAAUGAAUUGAAUGAGCGAGUCGACGCGGGUUCUCUUGGACCAAGGAAGUUGCCAGUCGGUAUCCAAAAAAAGUGGAAUGCCAAUUUAUUUACUUAAAAAGCUCAAGUAGGCUGUGGGCAUGACAAAAUUGACAAUUCAACUGAACAUUAUUACAACUACUAGUAGUUUGUAAUAUUUAGAUGGAUAUGGUGUGGUGAAUGAAUUUUUUUUUUUAAUUAGUGAUUACGAAUUUAAAUUUUAAGUGUAAAAGAAUUUUUAGUCCUCUUGAAUGGGGUCUUUUGCAGUGUAAAUUUAAAAUAGUUCGAUUUUAAUGUGGAUAUUAAAUGUCAAAUAAAAAAAAAAGUAGUGUAUAUUUUGGAAAUACUUGAACUAUGAUAUUAAUAUGAGAAAAUUACGUAAUUAUACAAUUUCAGAUAAUAUAAUUUCUAAAAAUUUGUACCAUUUGAAUUAAUUACAAAAAUUCCUUUUUCCUUCUCUCCUAACAUUCGGAUAAAUCACUCCACGUCUAUUAGAUACAUUACAAUUUUGUUUGUGUACAAUGUAUUUGGUAAAAAUGUUAUUGUUGAUACAUAAUCACAAUUAUUUCAAACAUAUAUCAAUAGGAAUCUAGUUUAUAGUUAUGUAUCUAAUAUAUAUUUAUAUAUUUAAUACAUAACUUAGUAUCGUUUGCUAUGUAUCGGGCUAAGAAACAAUAUAUACACGAGUUAUGAAAAAUUCAAAAUUAUUGUAAUUUGAGAAAAUUUUGACAAGAUGUAAUUAGCGCAAAAAUUAGAGUUUAUGUAUUUUAUACUAUAAAGGGAAAAGGGUCUGAAAAAUACUCUAACUUUGACCAAAAUUGUUGUUACGAUACCAACUUUGAAAAGGGAUGUGAAGUCUAUUCAUUAUAUCCUAAAGCUAAGUAUUAUUUAAUUGGAAAGUUCAAUUAGACUUUCAAAUAACUAUCUCAAUAUUUCACGUGAAGUUCAUGUACUGAAGUUCAAUAAUCAUACUCAUAAUCAAGUCGUAAUUCCAAAAUACAAACUAUAGUAUUUGCUAAAAUUAUAUUCAAAUUUGGACAUUUUCCAAUUAAACGGAAUUAAAUCACAGAAGAGCUUCCUACUAAAUCUAAGGCGUUUGGACAAUAUUUGUAUUAAAGUUUUACAAUUAAAUAUUAAUUUGAAGUUCAAAUUGCUAAAAAGUUAAUAAAAGCUUUUGUGUUUGGAUAUGAAUUUAACUUAGAAUUUUUUUUUGGUGAAGUAAUCUCAAUUAAAAUGCACCUUCAAAAUACUGUCUCAAUACUUCCUGUUUUUAAAUUAUUAUUAUUUUUAUUUAUUUUGAUAUGAUAUAGAGUUUAAAAAGUAAAAUCAAUAUAUAAAUUUUGUGGUCUUAAAUUAAAAAUAUGUAAAAUAUAUUAAAAUAUCCUUUUAUUUUAUAUUUAAACAUGUCAUAUGAAAAAAUUAAAACUGAAAAAUAUAUUUAUUUUAAACGAACCUAACAGAAAAGUACAACAAUAGCAUACCUAUUGUAAUUCUACAAAAAUAAGGUUUGAAGAGGGUAAAAAUUUACGGAGAUCUUACCAUUAUUUUGGAGGUAGAGAAAUUGUUUGGAUAGACCAUUAGUUCAGACCAAAACGAAUAAAAAGGGAAAGUAAGAGAAAUAAAUUGAAUAGUAUUUCACUUGAAGUUCAAUAUUUAUAGUAGGGAAAAGGGUCUGAAAAAUACUCUAAUUUUGGCUGAAAUUGUUGUUACGAUACCAAACUUUAUGGAGGACCUUUUACCCCCUGCACUAUUUAAUAGUGUAUUUUAAAGGUAUAUAUGUGCCCACGUGGACACAUUACUAUUUAAAAUGAUGCAAUAUUUAUGAUGUCCACGUAGGCAUAUAUAUACCUUUAAAAUACACUAUUAAAUAGUGCAGGGGGUAAAAGGUCCUCCAUAAAGUUUGGUAUCGUAACAACAAUUUCAGCCAAAAUUAGAGUAUUUUUCAGACCCUUUUCCCUACUAUAAAUAUUGAACUUCAAGUGAAAUACUAUUCAAUUUAUUUCUCUUACUUUCCCUUUUUAUUCGUUUUGGUCUGAACUAAUGGUCUAUCCAAACAAUUUCUCUACCUCCAAAAUAAUGGUAAGAUCUCCGUAAAUUUUUACCCUCUUCAAACCUUAUUUUUGUAGAAUUACAAUAGGUAUGCUAUUGUUGUACUUUUCUGUUAGGUUCGUUUAAAAUAAAUAUAUUUUUCAGUUUUAAUUUUUUCAUAUGACAUGUUUAAAUAUAAAAUAAAAGGAUAUUUUAAUAUAUUUUACAUAUUUUUAAUUUAAGACCACAAAAUUUAUAUAUUGAUUUUACUUUUUAAACUCUAUAUCAUAUCAAAAUAAAUAAAAAUAAUAAUAAUUUAAAAACAGGAAGUAUUGAGACAGUAUUUUGAAGGUGCAUUUUAAUUGAGAUUACUUCACCAAAAAAAAAUUCUAAGUUAAAUUCAUAUCCAAACACAAAAGCUUUUAUUAACUUUUUAGCAAUUUGAACUUCAAAUUAAUAUUUAAUUGUAAAACUUUAAUACAAAUAUUGUCCAAACGCCUUAGAUUUAGUAGGAAGCUCUUCUGUGAUUUAAUUCCGUUUAAUUGGAAAAUGUCCAAAUUUGAAUAUAAUUUUAGCAAAUACUAUAGUUUGUAUUUUGGAAUUACGACUUGAUUAUGAGUAUGAUUAUUGAACUUCAGUACAUGAACUUCACGUGAAAUAUUGAGAUAGUUAUUUGAAAGUCUAAUUGAACUUUCCAAUUAAAUAAUACUUAGCUUUAGGAUAUAAUGAAUAGACUUCACAUCGUGUUUAAUUUUUUUUAAAAAAAUAUUUAAACAUAUGUAUUCAUCAAAAAAAAUUUAUCGUGGUUUAAAAUAAGUUAAAAUUAUGUUAGGGGUUAAGGGGCCAAACGUGAAUUUCUCUUAACGAGAAUAUUAAUUAGAAGUUCGAACAGGGGCAAAAUUGCUCAAAUUCAAAUAGUAUUAUGAUUUGUGACAUAAUUGACUCUUAAUUAAAGUAAACACCCUAUAUCAAGAAAAUGGAAGGAAAGAGGAUAAAAAGAGGAAGUAUGAAAUGAAUGAAACGUAUUACUAUGUAUCUUUCUUGGUAGAAAUUAAUGACAAUGAAAAGGCGUUGAUAGCAACAUAAGUCAUACUUCCUCUGUUUCAAAAUAGUUAUCGCAUUUUCUUAUUUAUUCGAAUUUUAAAAAAAUAUUAAUAUAAAAAAUAUUUACCUUUCAAAAUUAUUUUACCUUAAUAUCUCUCCUUAUUAAUUAUUUAUUAUAUAUAUCUAUAUCAACCACAUCAAUAAUAUACUAAUAAAAAGAGUAAACUAAAAAAUCAUUUAAACUUGUUUUGAUUUUUUUAACAAUGACACGACCUUGCUUAAUUUGCAUACUAUUUUAUAAUUAGAGGUCAAUAAAACCAUAAAUUCAAUUGGCUUUCCCACCUAACUUUUCUCCACCAUUCACCCUUCUCUUCUCUCCUAUCAACUCAUAAACACCGGAAUAGUAGUUUUUAGUUGAAUAUUUAAUAGGGGUUUCGAUAUGAAUUGAGUAACAUUUAAAAGUUUUUUUAAAAAAAAGUAAUUGAAAUUUUAAUGUGUGUGCCAAAAAAAUAUUUUAAUGUAUAUGAAAAGAUGUUUUGAAUUAUUUUAAAAGAUUAAAUUGAUGUUCAAAUGGACCUUAAUUAAUUAGUGAUUAUUGUUAUUAAUACUAUUUUAAUAGGGAACUUGAAUUUGUUAGGUAAUAGCUAGAUUCAAACUAUUUGAUACUUUUAACAAUUAAUUAAUACUACCAAAAAUUAUCUUAAUUUCUUAAAUAGAUUAUACUACUUCCUCAGUUCAUUUUUAUUUGUCCAUUAUACUAAAAGUAAAUGUCGAAUAAUACGUGUUCAGUUUGAAAAAUCAAGAGAUAAUUUACCCUUUUGUAUCUAUUUUACUUUUGCUAUUAAAUACUUUUAUUCAAAUAUCUAAUAUAUUUUUCAAAAGAGAAAACAUCCAAAUGCCCCCUCAAGUUAUGUGUGGAUUUCUAACUAUACACUUAAUUUUUACUGGGGUCCUAUUACCCCCUUGAACUACUUUAAAACCAAUCAAGUAACCCCUCAAGUGCUGACAUGGCAUAGAGAGUGCAUUUCACUCUCUCAAACAGAGUGAGAAGCAAAAAACAAUUAAAAAAGCAUUUUUGUUAUAUUUUUAUUAUAGUUAAAUUGUAUUUUUUUCUUUUUUUCUUUUUAUUUAUUUAUUUUUAUAAGAAAAAUUACCCCUUUUAAUGGAGGGAAUUACAUUCCCUUUCACUUCUAUGGGAGAAGAAGAUAGCAGUCCAUCUGAUAGAUUAUAAAUCCUAAUAUUUGACAGAAAAACUCAUCGAACGAGUCGGCGAUGAGGAAGAAAUAAUCAUAGGAAAAUAUGAACUCACCGAUAAAUUUGAAAAUUUAUUCUUGAGCUUCGAAGCUCUUUAAUAAUGGUUGUCCAUGAAUUUAUGUUUCCUCCAAAAAAUUUCUUUAAUUCAAAUCAAUUGAUCUAGACGUUUUCAAACUCAAGAACUCAAAAAUGGGAUUCCCAUAAAGGAUUCAAUUUAGUCUCUACAAUUGGUAAUUGAAAAUGAAAAUUUUCAGAUUUGGAUUCAAACCCAGCAACCACAAUUUUUUAUUUUUUUUUGACAGCUUUGUAGGUCAGUGGGGUUUUCUGAUUUUUGGCUUAAAUCUUCACACUUAAUUCAAAAUCAAUUAAUAAGUAAUGUGUAGAUUCAAUACACCAAACCCAAUCACAUUCACAAACUUUCUAGAUUUGCACAAAUUCGAUGAACACAAUGAAGAACAAUAGUUUUUUUUUUUUCUUCAAAUUUUAAGAAAUUAAUAAAGCCAAGAAAACAAUUGAAGGAUUUAAGGUAAGUAUUAUAGAAAUCUGUAGUUUGAAGGUUCAAUUUGCACGUGUAUAUAUAUAUAUAUAUAUAUAUAUAUAUAUAAUUACAAAUUUAAAAGAAAAAAAAGAGGUAAAAUAGAAUAAAGAUGAAAGAAGAAUUUAAAAAAAGUUUUUUAUAAAUUAUUAUAUAUGCCUGACAGCUGGUAGUGCGUGUCCACCACUUCAGGUUAUGAAUGUGGGUGUAUACUUUUAGGGUGAUAUUUAUAUCAUUUUAAAGUAGUUCAAGAGGGUAAUAGGAUCCCCGUAAAGUAUAAGUGUGUAGUUGAGAAUUGGACAAUAGAUUGGGAGGUCAUUUGACUAUUUUCUCUUUUCAAAACAUAUAUUCAAAUGGUAAUGUAGUAAUAUUACCUAUAUUAUUGAUUGUUUCUUAAGGUGUGUCAAAACAAUAGUUAUCUCAAUAGUGAACAACUAUUGUUAGACAGAGCGAGUACCAAAAAUUGAUUUGUUAGAUGAACCUAUCAUAUUAACUUUAACAUUUAUAAUAUGAGAUUUUAAUAGCUCAAUUAAUUGACUACUUAAAUUCCUAUUUUAUUAAUGAAAGUUUGAUUUUUUUAUUUUUUACCCCCCUAAUGUAAUUUAAAAGGAAAACGUUUAUAACAUUUGAUGUUGCAAAAGAUAGAUGGAUAUUUGGUGGCCACAUAAAAUAGAGCAAUCAAAAAAGAGCAUUAACAUUAACGUCAGGCGGAUUCAACGAUGUGGGAAUUCCUAGUUUGUCUGGUUCAACUUUAUUAACCCCACACACCAAAUUGCAUCACAUAUGUUUUUAUUUAUUUAUUUCAUUAAAAUUUUGAUAAUAAUUUAUUGAUUUAGCGAUAUUGAUAAUGGAUUUGAGUUCUUUUUAUAUCGAGUAUUAUUAACGAUUUGAGAUUUUCCUUAACAGUUUAUUUAUAACUUGAUAGUAAAAUUAAGAAAUUAUAAUUAUAUCAUUCGGUAUAUAAAGUUUUUGAUUAUACUACAGGAUUUCAGUGUUUGGUUUUGAGCAUGAUGCAAUAUGUCAACUCAUGUUCAUGAUUUAUUAGGUUUGUCAUUUUAAAGUGAUUUUCAAUGAUUUUUUUGUGAAUCGUAAUAAUUAAAUCGAUAACCAAACCGACAACGAUCAAUAACUGAUAGCUUAAUGAUUAUAUAAUGAUUUAGUGUGUCUUCAAAUGGAUAGUCAAUACUUAAAAUUAAUAAACUUCAAAAUCGAACGACCUAAAUCCCUAUGAACCAACAUUUUUCAACUUGAAACAUUAUGAUAGUCCUCUCUUAAUUAGCCUUAAUUUUUUGUCCACCUUAGCAACUUGAAUUUCACAUGAUCCAUAAAAUUAGCUUGAAUCUCUUUAAAUUUUUAUUAUUAUUUAAUUUCUUUUUCAAUAUAUAUAUAUAUGUUGCAUGACUGAAAUUUUUAGAUUGGUUGUAGUCUUGUUGAAGAAGAUAAUUAACAAAAACAACAGACAUGACUUGAGGUUGAUGACAAUUGGGGAAUUUCUUAUUUUUAUUUUUUUUGCAGUAGACACAACUUUAAUCUAUUCAAAACUAUGACAUUUUUGUUUUCCCCAAGGAUAUUUUCUCAACAACUUUUAACAUAUUGUCUUGCCAAAAUUUCUAACAUUGUAAAAUUUCAACGUGGUUAGCAACAAAUUAGAAAUUUUUUUUGCACCAUCCAAAGUUGCGGUGGAGUAAGAAAUACUCCUCCAUUUUCUGUUAGAAGUUUUACAUUUGAGUUUUGAAUAUAGAGUUGUCUUUUGUAUAUAACACUUUAUCUAAAAAAAAAUGGAACUUUCAUACAUGAAUUUAAAUUAGUCAGACUCUAAAAUGAAUAUUAAACACCGAACGAAAAAUCAAAAAAGAAAGGAAUGUAGGAAUAAUUUGACUCAAAUAUGUCAAUUUCCGGAAGAAUUAGUUUUAUAAGCCAUUUUCAUUUUUAAAAUUUUUUUUAUGAUAUUUUUAUAAACAAAUAUUCAUUUUUAUACCUAAAAAUCUGAAAGAUUAAUUUUCUUCUAUCCAAGUGGUCAAGAGACUCAUUUGCUACGAUGAAUAAUUCCUUUAGCUUCAUUGCCUUCGCUAUAACGAAGCCUUCCUUCACUAUAGAGAAAUGUUAAUUUGAUUGGCCAAAUAAAUGGUUUGUCAUCAUCAUUAAUGUCCAAAUCAUACGAAUUAUACGAUGUGAAAAAUCAUGGAUUUAUAUGUGGAUGCAGUUUCAAACGUAUACAGUAUUUUGUAUUAUUUUGGUCAUGAAGAUAAUAUUUGUGAUCAGUGGCAGAGCCACCUUAUAGAUAGGGGCUCAUUCGAUCCUCAUUUAGCGGAAAAUUAUAUUAUUUAUAAAUGGUUAAAAUUUUUUUUAAGUAUAUAUAAUAAAUGUCGAGCACCCUUCGACUAUUUCGCAUAUCUAUUUUUUCAGAUUUUGAACCCAUUAUUAAAAAUCCUGACCGCCACGAUUUGUAAUUAAUUGCAUGGACUCCAAUUAUACAACAUUACAUCUCCAACCCAACCUGGGCAGUCUACCCUACCCACCAAAAUUGUAUGGCCUGUGUUGUUCACAUACUAUUAUAUGUUACUUUUAAUAAUUAAUAUUGUUUUACUACUUGUUAAUUAUUUAUUAAAGAACAUUAUUUUCAUUAAUUAUAGGGAAAAUGGUAAGAAGUUCUUAAAUUAUAUGAUAUGAACAAAAAAGUCCCUCGUUUAUGGUUUGAUCCAAAAAUGCCUUUGUUGUCAAUUUUUUGGUCCAAAAAUGCCCAUUUUCCAAAUAAAUAUAUUAUUUAUUUUCUUUUUAACAUAUUCUUUUUCUAAUACUAUUUUUUUAAAAAAAAUUAGCAAAUAUUUAUCCUACUUCAAUUCAGAAAAAACUAUCAAAUCCAUAACUGCUGUUGCUUGUGCAGGAGUAACUGGAGAACUUAAAAUUGCAAUAAAAAAGUUGUCAACUAAUAAAGACCGGAAGUCCAUGCGAAAAACCUUGACUAAUAGAAUAGUUAAAUUAGAAUAGGCUGCACCUGGGUUCCGCCUUCUCCUUGUCGAGUUUUGCUUCUGAUCUCUCUCUGAGUCUCUAGUUCGUUACCUUCUACUACCGAUCUUCUCCCUCUGCUGCUACUGGAGCUACUGGAUAUCGACCUAAGAGAUACUAGACCGGGUGCGAGAGGAAGGGAUGCUGCUAUUAUUAUAAUUAUUUUUUAUCUUUAUAUAAAUAAAAAUUAAUGAUGGAUAUACUUAUGAUCUUAUAUAUAUUAUCCUUCAAAAGGUAUAUGAAGUUAUUCUAUUUUAAUUGAUAAAUGAGAUUAAGAAGAAAAAAAUUUAUUUCCUACAUUUUUAUUUGUUAAAGUGAUUUUAAAAGGAAGAAAACAAGAAUAGGAGUCUUUAAUAAUAUUUUAAUUAGGAAGAAAAUGUGCUUUAAAAGAAAAGAAAUAUAAUAUUUAUUCGGAAAAAAGCUAUUUUUAACCCAUUUAGUAACUAUAGGGGUGUUUCUUGAUCAAAGUAUUAACUAGGGGUGUGCAAAAAUCAAACUGAGCGAUAAACUUAACCCAAAAAAGUAUUAUUGAUUUAUUGUUAUUGGGUUAUUGAAUUAAGGGGUUUUUAAUACUAAGUUAUUGGAUAAAUCGACAACCUAUUAAGUUAGUAAUCCACUAUAUUUAUUUGUACAUAAGUAUUACUAUAUAUUAAUCUUAAUACCUUACUAGUUACGGUCUUUAUCCUUUAGCCUUUAAUUCACACUUCAAAGUGACUUUUAGUUCACAACUUCACAUUAUACAAAACAUCAAAAUCUAAAGUAAGAAUCUUAUUACUCUUAAUUUCUCUUUGUGUUACACUUGUAUAGUUUUUUUCAUUACAUUAUUGUGUUAUCACGUCAAAUUUAUUAGAGAAGUCAUAUAUUUAUUUUAUAAGUAUUUUCUUAUUGGUUAAACCGAAAAUCGAACCGUUAAGGACCAAAACCGAUAAAAAAUCUCUUAUUGAUUUAAUAUAUUUAAAAAUCAAAAAUCGAUAAAUCGAACUAAUAAUACAUAAAAUCGAACUGACCGAUGCACACCCCUAAUAUUAACUACAAAGGCAUUUUUGAAUCAAAAUAUUGACGAUAAGAAUAUUUUAAAGCCAAACUAUAAACAAAAGACACUUUUAUUCAUUUCACAUAGUUUAAGAACAUUUUUUGAUUAUUUUUUCUUAGUUAUAUAAUAUUUCCUUGUUGUGUUGUUGAAGGAAUGAGAACAAAAUCCCUAAGGCAGAAAUAGACAUGACUUGCAUCCAUGUUAGGUCAAGUGGUCUCUAACGUGUAGCUAAAACACUUUCGUCCUAAUCUAUGUGGCAUCGUACUCUUUUUGUACAUAAUUUGCGUUUUUCAAAAAUCAAUUUGAUUAAUUUUCAAAAUUAAAUUAGAUUACAUUAAUUUGAUAUUUUAAAUCAAAAAUUUAGAUAUUUAAAAACUAUACAAAAAAUAAUAUAAAUUAUAAUUUUUUGCAUUUUCAAUAUGAUUAAAUAAUAUAUCAUAAAAUAUUAGUUAAAAUUCUUAUAGUUUGAUUUAAAAAAGAAAAAUAUGAUUAAUUAAAAGUAGACAGAGAAAGUAUAAUUUAACAGUAAUUGGUACGAAAAAAGCAUUUUUCCUUAGCUAGUUUAUUACUAGAUUCAAAUCACAAAAUCUUUUGCAAAACAUUGACAAUUCAUAUGUCAGAUUUCCACAGGGAUGCACAAACAGAUCCUUGUCAGCAUCACUUUCUUAUUUUUUCCAACCCAUGGUUCUCAUGAUGUUUUUAAAAUUAAUUAAUUCAAAAUAAUGACAAUUUUAAAAAAAAUAUUAUUGUAAUGAAAUCUUUUUAUAGUCAGACAAUAAAAUAAAUAAAAAUUAUAAUUGUACAAAUAUUAUGAUAUAUUUUUAUUUUUUUAUAUUAAAUUAUGUCAAAUCAAACUAGAUAAAUAUGUAGUAAAGGGAAUAGUAUUCUCUUGGAUUGUCAGUCAACGUAGAAGAAAUUCAUAGGUUUAUACUAUAUAUCGUGCCCUCAUGAGUUUGAUUAAAAAUUAAUUUAAGUGUCUAACCAACAAAACAUGUCUAAAUAUUUUAUUUAUUACGCUUAAGACAACAGGGAGGAAGAAGCAAACAUAAUUCAACAAACUAAAAUUAUAACUAAAUUUUUCAUAAAAUAAUAAAUAUUUUCUAGUUGGAAAAUUACAAUCAUUAACUUUAAUUAAAAUCUAUGUUAAGGACUUAAGGUAAUAUGUUAAAAGAUGAUUAAUAUUUGGAUUGCCUAAGUAUUAAAAGAGCAAAUUCUUAAGUAAUAUUUGGAUUGAAUAGGGAACUUAAAUAAUACUUCCUCUCCUUCUAAUUUUUUUUUUUGAUUUAACACGAAGUUUAAAAAAAUUAAAAUUAUAUCAAAUAUAUUAAAAAUAUCCUUUAAUUUUAUGACCUAAAACAUGCCACAUGAAAAACUGAAAUUAACGUGUUGCCAAAAAAAAAGUCAUUCUUUUCAAAUAGACUAAAAAGGAAAACAAAUCAUCCCUUUUUAAAUAGUCUCACAUAUUAUAUAAUUUUUAACAAAAAAGGAAAAUUAAUAAUCUAAAUAUCGAAUUUUAAUAAAACACCUCAACUCAUUUUUAUAUAACACACCAAAAAAGUGCUUUAUAAAUAGAAAAGUAAUUUCUUUUACAUUUCAUCCAUCUCAAUUAAUAUGAAUUAGUUUAACUUUACACUAAGUUUAUUUUUAUUUUUUUAAAAUUAUAAUUUAAAAUAAGUUAUAAAUACAUAUGCAGCUAAAAAUCUUUUUUUAUUGACAUGAACUAAAUAAAUAAUAAAUUAUAUAAAUUGAAAUAAAAUAAAUAUUCUAGUUGGGUUCAUUUGGAGGCAGGGUUACCAACAUAGAUUAUUAUGAGGUGUGAAAGUGAUUCCUUAUUACACAGAGAUCUCGAGUUCAAAUUUUGAUAAAAGAAAAUAUUAUUGGGAUUUGGGAGCGUGUCCGAAAAAGGGGUAAAUGGUGUAAUAGGAAAAAGUUGAACAGUGAAAAAAGAAAAGUGGUAAUUUGGUUGCUACAAAAUGCCCUGAUCAAUUGCAGAGUUGCGAGGACAAGUAGGAGAGAAGAAGAUAAAGAGUAGUACUUCAGCAGAUCUAUCACAAACAAUCUCCUCUCUCACUCUGCUCAAAACUCAGCCAUGUUCUCCUUGAAUGGCACCAGUUUUACGGUAAUACCAGUACCCCAUUUCUUAAAUCUCUGUUUUGAUUGUUCACAGUCAGAUGAAAUGAAGAAGAAGAAGAAGGAGAAAUUGUCUUGAUUGAUUGUUAAUUCUUUGAUUCAGAUUGAGUUUUUGACGACACCCAUUUUCAUAGAUUGAGCUGAAAGUUGUUAAUUUUGAGUGAUAGAGAUAGGAUAAGGAAAAGGGAACAACACCCAGAUUUCUUUUUCCACUGAAAAUGAAAAAAAAACGAAACUUGCUGUGAUUCAUGAACAUUCAGAUUGAUUUAGACAUACCCAUAUUUAAAAUUGAGUUGAAAGUUGUUGAUUACUGUUUUUGUUCACUUAUGGACAAUUUUUCAUUUUCUAUAUUUUAUUAAUUGUGAUUGUUUUGUUGUAUUUUGCAGAACAAUUCGUUAUCUGGGGUUUCAAGAUGUUUGACUCAGUCAAGCAGAAGAGUUUCAGCUCCUAUGGUGGUGGUAGCCGCCGUGAGUUCAAACGGAAAACCUGGAGAUGGAAGUGUUAGUGUAUUGGUGGAGAAUGCUUUGACGGAAAGUGCUGCACCGGUUGAGAUGGAGGUUAAAUCUACUGUCACUGGUGGAGUUCAAGACGUUUAUGGUGAGGAUAGUGCCACAGAAGAUCAAUCCAUCACACCUUGGACCUUAUCUGUUGCUAGGUGAAAAGUUACUUCUUUUGAAUUUGAGUCGAUAAUUCCUAUGCUUUCUGUUCCCAGAUGGGGGUUAAGUUUAAGAUUUAGAUGGGUUUUGAUUAAUUUAAUUAAGGACCGGGAAGGCCGAACCACAAGAGUUUAUUGUAUAUGGAGACUGUUUUCAUGGCUUGAACCUGUGACCUCCGAGAUGGAUGUUCAUGUCAUUCCAACUAAAUGGGGUUAUCUAGUUUUAGAGGCUCUUGUAUUCUGGCUUUUUUUGUAUAAUUAAAAAAAGAAAAGAAAUUGAGCUUUCAUCACAGCUAGACUAGUAACCUUUUGUCUACAUAUGCAUGAUCUGAUUAUAUAGAUGUUUUGUUAAUAUCAAAUAAAGGCACUUGCUUUUCUUCUAUUUCUCUUACAAUUAAAUUUUAAUCUUUUGUCCCCACUUAAGAGCUAUUGGGAUUUGUCUUUUUGGUAAACCAAGGGUGGACAUAUUUUGUGUUAGUCACUGUUAUCUUUACUCACCUAUAAUUUACAUUACAGAUACUGUUUCCCAAGUAUGAUGCCUCUAUGCUCCAACAGUCACCUAGGGUACAACAACAACAUACUCAGUGAGGUCGCACAAGUGGGGUCCGGGGAGGGUAGAGUGUACCACGAGACACUGUUUCCGAAGAGCGAUCCCAGGAAUUUGGGGCUAGUUCUAUAAGCCUUGUUGUGGAUUGAGUUUUCCAUUUUAAGUUAGAGUAUUUAUUGUUUGAUGAAGUAAGUGAUUUCAAUAAAAAGCAUCAAGAAUUUAAGAUGAUGCAACAAUUAUAAGAUAUGAGCAUUUAGUUCGAGUAUAUUAUAUGUUUAUAUCUUAAUCUAUUGAAGUUGUUAGUUGCUCAUUGAGCCUUCUUGAGAUAUCAUAAACACAGUUUGCUCUUGAUAGACGUUCUGCAUUAAGUUCGACUUAAUACGUCCUGCUCUUGAGCCUUCUUGAGAUAUCAUAAAUGCAGUUGCUCUAUGUACUUUUUUUAGAAGGGCUGAACUUCCAUGUCGUUGUUUUUCUUACAAAGAUUAUCUCUUUUCAGCAUUCAUUUAACAAUUCCUUCUUCCAUGUUAAUGAAAUAGGCUCAAGCGUUAGUCUGACACUUGACUAUCUCAGAAGUUGUCUUUACUUACGCGCACUGAAACAUACUGUGUUCUUUUGCUUGCAGUGGUUUCUCAUUGUUGCGUAACCCACACUACAAUAAAGGCCUUGCUUUCUCUGAGAGAGAGAGAGACGCCCACUAUUUGCGUGGUCUUCUUCCUCCUGUCGUAAUUAGUCAUGACCUUCAGGUUGUAUAUUCUGCAUUUUACAGAUCCUACAGUUUCCGUGUCUCUCUUUAUCUGAUUAGAUGAAAGUUCAAUAACAACAUUGUUGUGCUACUCGUUGUCACAGGUCAAGAAAAUGAUGAACAGCAUCCGUAAGUAUGAUGUACCACUUCAAAGAUACAUGGCCAUGAUGGAUCUUCAGGUAGUAAACAAAAUGAUUUUAAGGUUCUAAAUACUUUCUGCAAUUAAGGUUUUUUUUUUGCGUCAAGCUCUUUUAUGUUAUACUAAAUUGAGCAGAACACAGAUGAUUAGUGUAUAAUAAUCUUUCAAGUGUGGUGACACUGGGAAAUGUAAAACCAUUUGUUUGUUCAGCUCAAGUCCAGAAGUCCUGCACGUGUAUGCCCGCCUUUAGUUGCUUCAUAAUACUCUUGUUUAUUGUUGUAUGAAUCGUGGUGCAGGAAAUGAAUGAGCGGCUAUUCUACAAGCUUCUUAUUGACAAUGUUGAGGAGCUUCUUCCAAUAGUUUACACUCCAACUGUUGGUGAAGCAUGCCAGAAAUAUGGUAGCAUCUUCAGGCGUCCUCAAGGUCUUUUUAUCAGCUUGAAAGAAAAGUAAGCAUUUGAAUGCACUAUAUAGCUUCUCAAAUUAAAGGCUUGACAUUUCUUAUUUCUUGUUAAAACUAAUAUGUGCUAGCUUUUUGCAGAGGCAAAAUUCAUGAGGUACUAAAAAAUUGGCCUGAGAAGAAAAUUCAAGUUAUUGUUGUUACUGAUGGAGAACGAAUUCUGGGCCUUGGGGACCUUGGUUGCCAGGUAUAUUGUGUAUUGAUUUGGUUGAAGUUCCUUAAUUCUAUUUUCAGGACAAAUAAAUCCUCCGUCAGUUUAACUAUUGGUUCCAGUUCAUUUUUGGACCUAUAUGUAUCUUUUUCCAUAAUGUAUUUCUUUGUCAUUGUUAACAUAUUAUAACAGUCAUUACGUUUUACCAGGGAAUGGGGAUACCAGUGGGUAAGCUCUCUUUAUACACUGCUCUGGGAGGCAUUCGCCCUUCAGCUGUAAGUUUCUCUUUAUAACAGUAGUUGGAAUUUAGAUGAUACUACUGUAUCCACAAAUACUUUAUUCCACAAACACUACUGUAUCUAUAUGGAGUUCUGGGAUUUCACUUUAUCACUCUAUCCAGUAACCCCUUGUCAUAGACUCAUAUUAUGUGGUUCGUUGUGUAAGUUUGUGAAUUCCUUUCUGAUUGAUGUUUGCCAAAUGAAGCUGUAAUUUGAGCAUAAAUGUUUUUAACUUGACAGUCUGAGCGGUAUCUGACAGUUUCCCGGUCGUCACCUUUCGUAGUCUCCUGUUAUAGUUUACUCUGUUGUAUAUGCUAUGAGCACACAGAGCUGAAAUAUAAUAUAUUUCCUAUCUUCCAAUUUGUGUUGCACUAUUAAUACUUGAAGAGUGAACAUCUGUUUCCUUGUCUAAAUGUUUGGCGAGUUUCUAAAAAUGUACAUUUUCAAAACUUUAAGGACUCUCGUACUCCAACUCUACCAUUCAUUGGGAUGGUGGGAGUACUAGGUUUAUCAGUCAUAUAACCUUAUCUGUUUGGUCUUUGCUUUUUCUGUCUUAUCAGUUGAAAGCCUGAUUAUCCUCUCUUUCUUUUCAGUGUUUGCCCGUUACCAUUGAUGUGGGUACAAACAAUGAAAAUUUGUUGAACGAUGAAUUCUACAUUGGACUCAGGCAAAGAAGAGCUACCGGACAGGUUCACAAACUUGAUAUCUGAUCAUGCUUACUUUACCUUGUAUUUAUAGAAGAUGUAAUAUUUCCUUAAUGUUCCUUGUUUGAUCCUCUUUUCCAUUCUCAGGAAUAUGCCGAACUUUUAGAUGAAUUUAUGUAUGCCGUCAAGCAGAAUUAUGGGGAGAAAGUGCUCAUUCAGGUAGAUAUUUUCUGGAAAAAUUGCAGAUAAGUGCACUUAAACAUUAUACUUGAUAAUCUGACUUUGUUUAUUGACAUCUUUAGUUUGAAGACUUUGCAAAUCAUAAUGCAUUUGACCUCCUUGCAAAGUAUGGAACUAGCCACCUUGUUUUCAAUGAUGACAUACAGGUAAGUCAAGGACUCCUUAAUUUGUUAUUGUUUUCUUUUCACGGGUGCUUGGAGUAGGAAGUGGAUGUUUUCUGUUUGUUACACAAAUUCUUUAGCAAACUGCAAACAUAUUAUCUUGUUUUUGUUCCAGGGGACAGCAUCAGUGGUCCUUGCUGGGCUGAUGGCCGCAUUAAAUUUGGUUGGAGGAAGCUUGUCUGAACAUACAUUCUUAUUCCUUGGAGCAGGAGAGGUACAUCUAUCACUUAUACUGCUGACUUGCACUUUGAACUGUGACCUUUCUUUUGCCAUUAUUUCCUAGAAAUAACAUGUCUUACUGGAAUACUGAAAAUUUGAUCGUCACAAAGUAUCGUGUACUGUAAGACCAAAAUGGAUUCUGUUUAAAGUUGCUCUGUGUGUUCCUUGCUCUUAAGAUUUUAGCUAUUAUUCAACAGCUGCUUGUAUUUCUUCUGAUUUGAUCACGCUUUCUGCCUCAAUCAAUUGAUCAUUUUGUAUCCCAUUCACCUUGUUGUCAAUGCAGGCUGGCACAGGUAUAGCUGAACUCAUAGCUCUUGAGAUGUCAAAGCAGGUUUGGACUUAAAUAGAACAAUUGUCAUUUUUUAAGUUAGCUCUUUCCAUUCUAGUUUCAGCUACGUCUAAUAUGAAGAUAUUUUACAAGCCUUUAUACUUUACUCUUUCUUGUACAGACUGGAAUCCCUCUAGAAGAGACUCGCAAGAAAAUUUGGAUGGUGGAUUCUAAGGUAUUAAAUUUCCUUCAUCAGACUUGUUAUUUAUUUUCAUCAUUUUCCUCACUUUGUAUGCAAUUGAAGCAUCCAUAUGUCCUCUCUCCAGGGGCUGAUUGUUAAGUCUCGCAUGGAGAUGCUUCAACAUUUUAAGAGGCCCUGGGCACAUGACCACGAACCAGUACAAGAACUAGUGAAUGCUGUGAAGGUGGUACCUCUAUUUUUUCCUCCUCUACCCCAAAACUCCCCUCCCGCCUCUCACCCUCCCUCUCACAAUUCUCAUAUUGUGUCAGUCAAUUAAGCCUACGGUCUUGAUUGGAUCUUCUGGAGCUGGGAGAACGUUUACUAAAGAAGUUGUACAAGCUAUGGCAACCUUCAAUGAGGUAAGAUAAUGAAGCCCUACUUGGAUAGGAAAAGCUACUUUCUGUAGUUCAACCAGUUUGUGUAGUUAACAUGUAACACAAUAAACUGAUGGUUUCUUUUUCCUUCAAUUUUAUGUCAUGCAGAAACCAAUUAUUUUUGCCCUCUCCAAUCCAACAUCACAGUCUGAAUGUACUGCUGAGGAGGCCUAUAGCUGGAGUGAGGUGAGAUACUGUUUACUUUUCAUGUUUGAAGUCAGUCUCUUACACAGUCAAUAUUUGUCUCUCCGUGUAAUUUUCUUAUCAUGUCUCCUUCAGGGGCGAGCCAUUUUUGCUAGUGGGAGUCCAUUUGCUCCAGUUGAGUACAACGGGAAGGUCUAUGCGUCUGGCCAGGUCAGAGAUUUCAAACCCUUAGCUAUUUUCCAUUAUCAUCAUUUUUUCUUUCGGUAAAUCUCUUUACAUUAUCAGUACUUAUGCAAGAUCCAUACUAAACUUCUCUCUUUUCCUUGUCUAGGCAAAUAAUGCAUAUAUUUUCCCUGGGUUUGGUCUAGGACUGAUAAUUUCUGGUGCAAUUCGCGUCCACGAUGACAUGCUCCUCGUAGCCUGUAAGUUGUGGAAUUUGUUGUAGUUCAAUAUUACCCCCUCCCUUUUUUCCAUAAAUACGUAAAUGAGGGAAUUGAGCAACAGGAAAAGGGAAAAUACUGACAAGCUUACGUACAGUCGUUGUUUUCUUUUUAGAGGGGUGGAAUGGUGAGUUGUCCUUAUUUCUGGAUGAAAACUCUAUGCCAUAUGUCACUGAUAUAAUUUGCCAUAAACAUCUUUCCAGCCUUUCUCCUUAGGUGUGGUAAAAGAUUUGACAGCCAUUACUUAUUAAAAGAAAGGAAUUUGACAGCCAAUCUAUGUUGCGUGGACUCUUCAUUUUAGCCACCGCAUCUGGUCGACACAUGGUACUGGUAAGGGUGUGGUCAAUCGAGAUCGGGUACUUUGACCUCAAUCCAUGACAAAAUUUGAAGGAAAAAUGGGAAAUGAAAGGUCGAAUUUUAGGUGCUGCCUGCUAAUGCCUACUACUUGGGGAAUUGUCAAAAUGAAAGAUUGAAUUUUGGCUACAUCCCAUCUAUGUCUCUCGGACUCUUCUAAAAUGUCAAUGGGUGCAUUUCGGAUUCUUCAAAAGUUUAUUUUUGGAGAAUCGCGGCAUCGAAAGUGAAAGAGUCUGUGCAACUUAGCAUUCCACAACAUUUAAGGUUUUUUUAUAGAUCUUUUUAGAAUUUUGAAUUAUUUUAGCGGAAUUCCCCCACCCGUAUUCGUAAGCCUGAAUUUUAAAAUUUUGUAUUAGGAAGGAUCAGACCUCUAGUCUAGAUGCACACCCGGAUCGGAUACCCACACCAGAGUUCGAGGAACAUAGUAACCAAUAGCAUCCAAGGGUGUAGCCUAGAGGUUAGAGGUUAAUGAAGUAGGUGCAAACCUUGGAGAUUAGUGUUCAGCCAACAGAUUGUCCAUGGAAUUGCAAAAAUAGGUUCACCUUUGCGGUUUGAUUCUAUGAAAUUGCUCAUCUGUCUAGGUCUCUGGGAUUUACAUGUUUCCAUGAGCUAGCUGUUAGUUGCGAACCUCUGCGUUUUAGUUCAUACUUUAAAAAAGGUUGAAUAAUAAGAUAAACACUAUGAAGGAAGAUUUUGCAAUCAAAUUACAAGGUCAUAGUUAGCUAGUAGUCCAGAACAUGCUUCCUAUGCAGUCAAACAUGGACCACGUAAUCAAACACGACACCUCUAGCAAGCUUCAUUUAUCCUUAAGUUUGGAGGGACAGACAACAACAAGCUUUCAGAUGUUCUGAGGAGUACCAUUUCAGUUGUUUAAAUUUCUCACUUCCGAGUUUGGUGCACAGAUAAAAACAGUUUUUACACUUUUAUGAAGUAGCUUCAUUUCCUUUGUAAUACUGCAGUUCCUUCUAGCCACUUUUUAUAUUUUGCAAACAACUUUACUACCCGACUCAGAUGGCCACACGAAAAAAUAUAAGCGAGAAUUCAUUGUCAUCUUACUUGUGGAAGAUGACUAUUCUUUUUAGUUUUUUAUGCUUCAUAAGGUCUUACUUUUAUCUCCAAUUGUGCUCUUUGAAACAGCGGAAGCUUUAGCGGAGCAAGUUUCUCAAGAGAACUUCGAAAAGGGACUCAUAUACCCCCCAUUUUCCAACAUAAGAAAGAUUUCAGCGCAUAUUGCUGCCAAAGUGGCAGCUAAAGCAUAUGAAUUAGGUAUGUUUCUCCUCUGGAAAGAAGAUUCACAUGCCUAACACAUAUUUCUUAAACUCUGUCCAUUUUGUUGCUUAAUAGGUUUGGCCACUCGUCUACCGCAGCCCAAGGACCUAGUUGCAUAUGCAGAGAGCUGCAUGUACAGCCCCGCAUACCGCAGCUAUCGUUGAGUCAGAGAAGAUAUUGUUGCUUCAAAAUUAGUCAUUGUUCCUUCCAGUGUUAGUUAGUUAUUGAUGUCAUUCCUUUCUCUUUUUAGUUGGUUUGCUCUUAAAAUUUAUGUUCGAUCCUGCUAGUAAUAUACAGGCGACUGAAAAGAAAAUACGGUAGCUUGCAGAUAUGGUGUACUCGUGAAAUAUUUGAUUACGUUAAGACUUAAAUGUAGGGAACUUUGCAGCAUAAAAUCUUAGUGAGCCUCAUUGAUAUUGUUAAUUAUGAACACAACUGUCUCAGGGUGAUUAUAUAAAAUGUCGAAAACCUUUUAUCAUUGGUUGUGUCUUGCUGUUUCGUUCCUCUCUUGGAGCUGUUUGUUUUGAGUUUCUUUACUACUCGUCACUCGUUGACUUGUUAGUGCAUUGGAUUGGUAUGUUUACUUUAAGGUUUUUAUCCCUCCAUUGAUUCUUGUCUUGAACUGUAUUUUAGACUCCUCACUUGUUGUAAUGUAAACCCUUGACUAGUCUUGUUUAUUAGCUUUAGUGGCUCUGGUGUUACAUGGUAGACUAGGGUCAUGUUCUGGGACGGGGUUGGGGUGAGGGGCGAGAGGUAGGGGUGGUAAGGGGGUUACAAGAGCUGCGAGGCUAAGAGUAGGCUCUUGGAAUAUAAGAUCGUUAACGGACGAGUCUAUUGAGAUAGUGAGAAUUCUCAACAAGAGGAGGAUUAAUAGAACUUGUGUUCAGGAAACCGAAUAGGUAUGAACUAAGGUUCGGGAUGUGGAUGAGUAUAAGUUGUGGUACUCAGAAGGAAAAUUGAGUAGGCAUUCUAGUAGACAGAGAGCUGAAGGAGUAAGUGGUAGAGGUUAGGAGGGUCACCAAUAGGAUGAUGACAGUUAAAUUAUCAUCGGAGGGUUCACUGCAAGUGGGCUUGAACGAGAAGGACAAGAAGGCUUUUGGGAGGAUUUAUUGUUACAUAAUAUUGUGAAAAUAAUAAUAUUAUAUAAUGAAAUUAACAAAGUAGAAAUAAAUUAAUUAGAUAACAUACAAUAAAAAAUCUUAAUAUAACUCAGAUAUAUAAAUACCUAAAUGGUAACAAUUGACAGAAAAUAAACUUUUCUAAAAGGCAAAAAAAUAGAUUUACCUGGACAUUUUGUUGGAGCUGAGCAAAAUAAAACAAACAAAAAGAGUAGAUAAUUGUGGAAAAAAAGAAAAAUAACCAAAUGACUUGAAGCUUUGGUGUCUUGUAUAAUUAAGGUGGAAUGUGAAAAAUGACAGUUACAAAUAAUUAUUACCUUUAUUCGAUCAAUCUAACAUUUAAUAUUCAAUUUACUUGCACUAGUUAGACACCAUCAAUUUGAUCUGGAUACAAAAAUAUCAUAUAUUAUAUUAUGUACUCUACAAAUAUAUUAAUAGUUGGUAGUGGAAGAAACGGAUUAUUAAUUAUGACUCCAUAAAGGAUAAUGAUUCAACUUGGAAGAUUUGAAUAAAGAACGAAUUAGCAGGGGAAAUAUUAGUUAUUACAAUAACUAAAGAGUAUAUGUCCAAUUUUGUACAAAAAAAAUAUGAAUGUGUUUGUAUUUAUUAUUUAAGAUAACGUAUCUACAUUUUUACACAGAAAAUAUAAAAGGAAUAAUUUUUAAACUUAAAGAGUAAAGUCGUACUAUAAAAAUAAAAAAAAAAAUUUUUUUAAACUAAAGGGUAAAGUCGUAAUCCAACUUUGAGGUCAGGAGCUUUCCACUUUUAGUAUAACUAGUUCUAGAUACGUGUGUUGCACGUGUAAUCCAUAUUAAUUCUUCGCAAGAACAAUUAAAUUAUAAGUCAGUUUUUUGACAACUUUAUUAUCCAUAAAUUGUGAAGACUUGAUUAUUAUGUAGUUGGAAUAAAACAAAAUAAUGUCAUAUCACUAAAUUAGUGAACAAUUAUAAAGGAGGCGAUAGUUGUCGCAUGCCUUUGAUCUUGGAUUGGAUGGAAGGCGAGGUUAAAAUUUGUGAAGAUAGAAUGUUCUUAGUCUAAUAGGACUUUUAAUUAUGUAUUAGAGAUCCAAAAAUCAAUAGAUGAUUCUUCUCGUUCCUUUAUGACUUAUUUGCAUAUCGUAAAUUAAAUAUUAUUGAAUUAAUCCCCCUUUUUAAAGGUAUCCAACAUAGAGAAGUCAAAAGACAAAUUAUAGAGGCAAGAUCAUUUUUAAGAAAUGAUCAUUAUCAAUAAAUUAGAGAUAUUAUCAAAGAAAACAAAGUCAUAAAGCUUCGACAUUCAUGAUCAUUUUGAAAUAUGUACAUAGUGAUAUCUGCAAGAUUCCUACACAACUGUACUUUAAAAAUGUAACGAUGAGUAGAAAAAAAAUCAAAGAGAAGUUAUAUAUAACACAAAUACAAUUUAAGAAAUUAAUUGAACCAACUUUUCUAUGCUUACCUCCUAGAGAUAGCUAAAUAAGAAGACGAUAAAUAUUGCUAUACUAUUGAGUAUUACUAAGAUUCCAAAAGCUUGAUAAACUAUAUAUGACGACAAUAUUCUUAGCAUUCCAAACAAAAUUAUCUUGUUCUUUCAUUCAUGUGAGAAACACAACAUAAAAAGCACAAUAAUUUUUUUAGUAAAUAAUAACUAAAUGACUCAUAUUUAAAAUAUGAAAGGCUGAAUUUUUGUUACAUACCUGGUAAGUUUACACCUACUAUAUAUUAUAUUGUUUCAUCCAAAUAGUGAGAAUUAGUUAUAUGCUAAAUGUCCAUUUAUAUAAGAUAAAUUUAAUUUAUUCAAGUUAGAAAAUUCAUCAUUAAUUUAUGCUAAUUAUGAUUGAAGGAAAUCAAAAGUUUUGCAACAAUGUUUAUAGUAGUUAUUACUUAGAAUUUAAGAUAAUUUAUGAAUAUAAUUCAUUGAAUUUUUUUAUAGUUUUGCACUAUAGGAGUAUUUGAAGAGAUUGUUUUAAAUAUUGCAAAACUUUUGAUUUUCUUCUAUCAUUUAAUAAUACAAAUAUUCAUUGUAUUUAUAUUAAUUCAUGUCAUAAGUUGUGUUUUAACUUCCGAAAACUUGAAGUAAUAUUACGGGGUUUUCCAUUUCAGAUUAUUAUUGUUGUUGUUGUAUAUAUAAGAAUAGUGUUUAAUAGAAUAUGAUAAUAUUUAUAUAAGAAUAGUGUUUAAUAGAGAUAAUAUUUAUUAAUAAUUAAUGUGUAUUUACAUAAGUUGUGUUUUAACUUCCGAAAACUUGAAGUAAUAUUAUGGGGUUUUCCAUUUCAGAUUAUUAUUAUUACUAGGGAACGUAGCCGCGCUUCGCGCGCGCAUUAAGAUAUAUGUGUUAGAAUUAAUUUUCUUCCGAUUAAUUAUAUAUUCUACUAUAUUAUAUUUUCCAAUAUUAUCAUUAUCUUUUGGUUUAAUUGUAGGGAGAAGGGUAAAAAAUACUUAUCAAAUUUUGUUUAAUAACUAACUUUACCCUAUGUUAUACUAUGAAACCAUCCAUAACUCCGUCACCUACAAAUUUAUUAAUCAUAUCCUUCAAUUGCAUGAAAAACUCCAAAUCAAAUAAAAUUACCUGUUUUUCUUUAAAAAUAACAUAUCACCCAAUUUUAACCCAUGUCCGGUCCUCUAACUAUCUUAACCCAUGUCCGACCCUCUAACUAUAUUAACCCAAACAAAUUAAGCACAUGUCCGACCCUUCUAAUUUUGCCAUGCUAUGAGUAGUAAUGAUAGCCAUGAUUGCAAACAUAAUGCAAGUUCACUUUGUUUUAGUAUUUGAAUAAAAAAAAAAUGGUGAAUGAUGGAGUAUGUAGAAAUUUAUUUAUCCUUCAUUAAAACACAAUAUGAAAGAGUGUGUCAUUUCACUAAUGUAAUAUGAAAAGGUUAGCCAAAAAAUUGAUAAACUCAUAACAACAUAGUAGGCUAAUUUAUUAAAUUAGAAGUAAUAUCAAAUUAAUUGAAGUUCUUAAAAUUGAGAAUCAAUUAUAGGAAAGAUAAAAUGAAGUAUUUAAUAUUGUGAAUUGUGACUAUUGAUUAACAAAUUGAACAAAUGUGAAUGUUUAUUUUCCUUAUGUUCUUUUCCUUUACACCUCUUCAUUGCCUUCAUACUUUUUCAUUGCCUUUUUAAAAAAAUUGCAACAAUAAAUUAAAAUAUGAAAAGAAAAAAAAUCAAAUAAAGAAGAAAAAAGAUAAAUAGAUUUAUUGGCCAUAGAAAAGUGCACAUCUCAUUGUCUAUGCCUAACUUUAAUUAUUAUAUAUAGCUUUAGAGAUAGAAAUAAUAAACUUAUUCAUCUAAUUAAAUUGGGGAACAACUCCAAAAGAAUAAGAACUAAAAUUUCAAAAAUUAAAAUAAAAUCUUACAAAGACUUAAAUAAUAAUAUAAUUUAGUGUUGGACUUUGCUCAAAGAUCCCUUUUCUCCACAAUCGCAACAUCCAUGAUCACCUGUACAAAAAGAAAAAUAAGAACCUUGUGAUUUCCAUUAUGGAAACAUAAAAAAAUAUUGCACAUGUUGAAUCAUACUCACAUAUAUGAGGACGGUAUGCUAUAUCAUUAUUCCUCUACAAACAACACACUUACCUUUCCAUUGUGAGCAACAGACAAACAACACACUUCUCUUUCCAUUGUGAGCAACAAUAUCCUCCAAGAAGAUCACCUAGGCCCUAGACUAAUUGCACCUACUUAACAUAAUUGUCUUUACAGAACUUACAUUAUGUCAUUAGAACAUGACAUUAGAAAGAAUAGCAAUUAUAUGAAUCUAAAUUAGAACUACAUCAUGCUAUUCUUAUUUUUCGAAUAGUGAAGGUCCAUCACCAUAUAUGCUUCAUUUGAAAAAUGAAAUUGAAUAUCUCAUGAUUUUUUUCAAGUAUUCUAAAUUCUUGAUUCUUGAUUCAUAUUGAAAUAUUCUAAUAGAAUACCUGAAGUCUUUAAAAGGUUAAAAUCACAAUAAAUCAAGAAAAAAGAAAAAAAUAAGAGAGCAUAAACAAUAUGAUAACAAAAUAAAAAGAAGUUACAAUACACCUUUAAAUCAUGGCAUCCUCGAAAAAAUUAGCACAUCAUUUUCCUCCAUUCUUGUCACAAGAAAAUCCAAGCUUCUGCAACUCAAAAGAAAAAGUGUAAAAUUAAAAAGAAUAAGCUUGUAAAUGAGUUUCUGGUAAAAAUGAGAAGCUACAAAAUUAUGAGAAUUUUAUGAAAAUAUAAAGAAGAAUGGAAGGUAAAAAGGUUUGUAACCGAUUUGAAAUUAUAAUGAUUAAUUAGUAAAACUCAAUUAAUAGGAAAUAAAUGUGAUUGAAAUUUAUUCCAAUUUAAAAGGUAUUUUUUUAAAUAAAACGGAAGAGAUAUGAGAGAAGGAAAAGGAAGGGUCUUAGGUAGUAUCAGGGAUGAAAUAAAAAAAUAUUUUUAAUUUUCUGCUAAUUUUUAUGCCAACAAAUUAAACGAAAUUGAUUGAGACAAAAAUUAAUGGGAAAAAACGUUUAUGGUAAUAAGUAAAAGAGAGAUAAAUAAGAUAUUUUAUUUUUAGAAAGUUGUAGAUAUAAAAAGUAUAAUAUUAAAAUAUGAUAAUAAAAGGAUAAAUAAAUUAGAUUUUUUAGAAAAUUAUAUUUAAAAAAAAGGGUAAAAAAAGGAAUUUAAGGAAAAGUAAUUAAUUAUAGUAAACAAAACGUUUAUGGUAAUAAGUAAAAGAGAGAUAAAUAAGAUAUUUUAUUUUUAGAAAAUUGUAGAAAUAAAAAGUAUAAUAUUAAAUUCUAAUUAAAAAAAAAAGAUAAAUAAAUCAGGAUUUGUAAAAAAAUAUUAAAACAGAAGGUAAAAAGAGGAAUUUAGGGAUUAGUAAUUACUUAUAGUAAUGGUGAAGAGAGAUAAACAUAAUAAAUUGUAGUAAUAAUGAGGAGAGAUAAAUAAGAUAUUUUAAAUAUAUUUCUUUUUCUUCUUUUGGCAGAUAUUAGAGAUCAAAAGAAUAAAAAAAAAUUCAAAAAAUUGACAAAAAUAGAUAAAUUGUAAUCCUGGCCAAAUAGAGGUGCCACGUCAGACUUUUGUCAUCCAGCUUUAUAUAUAUAUAUAUAGAUUGUUGUUGUUGUUGUAUAUAUAAGAAUAGUGUUUAAUAUAAUAUGAUAAUAUUUAUAUAAAAAUAGUGUUUAAUAGAGAUAAUAUUUAUUAAUAAUUAAUGUUUAUUUACAUUUUUGUUCAUCAAUAUUCAAUAUUAUGACAUUUUAUAGUUUUGCACGGUAGGAAUAUCUGAGGAGAUUGUUUUAAAUAUUGCAAAAUUUUUGAUUUUCUUCUAUCAUUUAAUAAUAUAAAUAUUCAUUGUAUUUAUAUUAAUUCAUGUCAUAAGUUGUGUUUUAACUUACCGAAAACUUGAAGUAAUAUUAUGGGAUUUUCCAUUUUAGAAUAUUAUUAUUAUUAUUAUUUUUGUCCAUAAAUAUAUAAGAAUAGUGUUUAAUAUAAUAUGAUAAUAUUUAUAUAAAAAUAGUGUUUAAUAGAGAUAAUAUUUAUUAAUAAUUAAUGUUUAUUUACAUUUUUGUUCAUCAAUAUUAUGACAUUAUAAAGACAUUUGCGUAAUUCAACUUUUGACUUGGAGGCUUCUCACUUAUAAUAUAAUAUAUGAAAUAUGAUAUGAUGAUAUAUAUAUAUAUAUAUAUAUAUAUAUACACACACACACGCAUACACACUGAAAGUGAGAAACUGUGAAGUGUAAAGUUGGAUUACCAUUUUACUCCUAUAUCAAAAAAUAUUAUAAAAUAUCUAAUUAAUUAAAUAUUAAAUAGUAACCACACCAUAUUAUUCUAAUACUAAUACACUUAUACUAAACACUAAACAAUAAACAAUAAACACUAAACACUAAUACCAAAUAUGUUAGAUGUGGAAGUUAAAGUCAAAAGUUGAAAGACAAAAAUAUUCAUAAAAAGUUGUUAGACAUUUUUGCCUUUUUAAAAUAUAAAUAGGCAUUUUUAGAAUCUUCUUUUUAUAUUUAAGUUCAUUUCUCUCCUUUAAUAUCUAUAUUAUAAAACUACGUAGGGACAAAGUGGCGUGACAUCUCUCCAUAACCAACAUUCUUAUAUAUCCUUUUCUCCCAUAGUUUUGGCCUUUUCUUCUCAUAUUUCCUCCUUAACUAAUUUUAAAAAAAUCACGAGUAACAUUUAUUUUUAUUUAAGACAAUGAAAAAUGAAAAUAAUUUAUGUCCCCAUAAUUUAUUUUAGUGUUUUAACAUGUCAAUUAUGUAAAACUUUGUUUUCAAUUUCUAAAACAUUUCAUUUCCAUUGUCUUUAAUUUUAUCUCUUUGUACUAAAUGAAUGAACUAUAUAUGUUAUGGUGGUGAAGAAAUGAAUAUGUUGGGCACCUAAUAUUUCUUCUUUGUAAAAUACUUGGCUUAAUUCUUAUUCAAGCAUGCUGGUAAACUUUGUCUCUGGUUUUGUUCAAAAUAAGUAUUUUCUUAUUCUUGAGAAAAUAUGACGCAAAUAUUAGCAAUAUAGAACAAGAAAUAGAGAGUAAAAUGUAGAGAUCAUCUUAUUCAAAUGUUUUCAAUUGAAUUUCACAAUGGUGAAUGACAAUCUUAUUUAUAACUUGAGAAAUCAUUCCAAGUCACUAUGUCAAAUGUCAUAAUUAAUAAAUACAUUCUUAUCCAAAAUGAUUCAAAAAAACCUAAGAAAUAUACAUAAAUGUAAGAAGUUCAUGUAUUAAUUAAUAGACAAUCCAUUAAUUUAAUGGAUUUAUAACACCUCUUAUACAUAAUCUGCAAUUACUUCCCUCUUAUGACCUCUACCUUUUAUGUUUCCUAUUUAAGCGUNNNNNNNNNNNNNNNNNNNNNNNNNNNNNNNNNNNNNNNNNNNNNNNNNNNNNNNNNNNNNNNNNNNNNNNNNNNNNNNNNNNNNNNNNNNNNNNNNNNNNNNNNNNNNNNNNNNNNNNNNNNNNNNNNNNNNNNNNNNNNNNNNNNNNNNNNNNNNNNNNNNNNNNNNNNNNNNNNNNNNNNNNNNNNNNNNNNNNNNNNNNNNNNNNNNNNNNNNNNNNNNNNNNNNNNNNNNNNNNNNNNNNNNNNNNNNNNNNNNNNNNNNNNNNNNNNNNNNNNNNNNNNNNNNNNNNNNNNNNNNNNNNNNNNNNNNNNNNNNNNNNNNNNNNNNNNNNNNNNNNNNNNNNNNNNNNNNNNNNNNNNNNNNNNNNNNNNNNNNNNNNNNNNNNNNNNNNNNNNNNNNNNNNNNNNNNNNNNNNNNNNNNNNNNNNNNNNNNNNNNNNNNNNNNNNNNNNNNNNNNNNNNNNNNNNNNNNNNNNNNNNNNNNNNNNNNNNNNNNNNNNNNNNNNNNNNNNNNNNNNNNNNNNNNNNNNNNNNNNNNNNNNNNNNNNNNNNNNNNNNNNNNNNNNNNNNNNNNNNNNNNNNNNNNNNNNNNNNNNNNNNNNNNNNNNNNNNNNNNNNNNNNNNNNNNNNNNNNNNNNNNNNNNNNNNNNNNNNNNNNNNNNNNNNNNNNNNNNNNNNNNNNNNNNNNNNNNNNNNNNNNNNNNNNNNNNNNNNNNNNNNNNNNNNNNNNNNNNNNNNNNNNNNNNNNNNNNNNNNNNNNNNNNNNNNNNNNNNNNNNNNNNNNNNNNNNNNNNNNNNNNNNNNNNNNNNNNNNNNNNNNNNNNNNNNNNNNNNNNNNNNNNNNNNNNNNNNNNNNNNNNNNNNNNNNNNNNNNNNNNNNNNNNNNNNNNNNNNNNNNNNNNNNNNNNNNNNNNNNNNNNNNNNNNNNNNNNNNNNNNNNNNNNNNNNNNNNNNNNNNNNAAUAAUUAUUAUUAUUAUUAUUAUUAUUGUUUAGAUUAGUCAUAUAAAGAGAUUUGUUUAUCAUAUAAAAGAAUUUUUGGACAUAACAUGUAAAUAGGUUUUACAGAUCAGGUAUUAGGUCAAAUAAUAGUUGUUAAAAUGGAUUGGGUUUUUAACACUCUUUUUUGGCUUAAAAUCAAGAGUCAUGUCAUCAAAAUUUAGCUAAAUAUGUACCACUUUUAAACUUGAGUAAUCUUUUGAAAAAAUAAUAAAAAAUAAGUGAGUUUUAUGAUAUAAAAAAGAAGAAUAAUCUUUUGAGUGAUAUAGCAAACAAUAAAGAAUUUUUUCUAAUCAAAUAGAAUUAUUUUUUUACCAAGCAUGCUAUUAAAUUAGAUAGUUUAUAAAUACUUUUAGAUUUUUUUUAAAAGUUAAAAAUGAUUCAUAUAAUUUUAUCAGCUUUUGACAAAUGGUUAAUAGAUCUAAGAAUUUGUGAUAUAAAUCGAUGUUGACAUGGAUAACCAAUUCAGAAUCUAGAAAUAUUUAUCAACUUUAGAAUGAGAGUUAGAAUAAUAAGACACUAAAGAUUUCGAUUCAAUUUCUUCAUAGCAUAAAAAAAAUUAUUAUGGACUUACCACAAUGGAACAACAACCAUAGACCAUCCUAAACAUUGAAAGAAAAUCCAAAAAAAUCAAUGAACAAAAACUUCUCAAGUGAAAUACAUUCAUAAACAUUUACUAGGAUGCAAAUAACAAGUCAUUUGCAGAUAUUGAUACAUUCUUAAAAAUUAAGCAAGUGUAUAGUUAUUUAUCUGAAGAUAACCUGCUACUUGUUUCCUCCAUGUAGUUCCAUAAAAAUGUAACUUUACUUCCAUAAAAAAUAAUGUAACAAUUGAAAGCGUUAACAAAAAAAUAAAAGAUGCAAAAAGCUCAAGAAGAUCAUUCAUAUAACAGAGAAAACGAGUCAGCGACUAAAUGAAAUGUAGGGUUUUGAAGGCUAAAGGAAGAAGAGUGGAGAUUUUACAGAUCAAAUUUUUUUUUGAACUUUUUAAGAGAUUUUAAAUUUACUUCACAACUAUAUUAAUUGGCAAUUAGUCCUUUAUUUUUGACUAAACACAUAUAUAACCUUUUAAAUUUUACGUUCAGUGUCAUUUUGAUACUUCAACUUUUUAAUGAUUAUUUUCAUAUCUUUACAUGAUGGAUAUGUGUCUCAUGAAUAUCUCACGAUGACAUGACAAAUCAUGUAUCUUAGCUUAUACUAGUAGAUAUAUAAAUAUGAGGAAAAAUAAAAAAGAAUAAUAUUAAUAUUGUGAGAAUGGAAAAGAAAUACGUUCGACUUUCUAUUAACCUUCUACCUCCACACCUUCCUAUCAAUGGUCAUGUCCUCAGUGAGUUCAAGUUGCAUCAUGUCCUACCUAAUCGCCUCACUUUAAUACUUCUUAGGCUUACUUUUACCCGUUCUCAGAUCCACACUGUCCAACCUCUCACACCUUCUAAUCGGGCAAAUGCACAUCUCCUUUUCAUAUGCACGAACCACCUAUCUCACUUUUUGCAUCUUGUCCUCUAUGGAGGACACUCUCUCCUUAUAAGAAUAAUCUCAUUUCUAGUCUUAUCUCUUCUAGUAUGAUCAAACUUCCACCUCAUCAUGCUCAUUUAUACAACUCUCAUCUUCUUAACAUGCGAGUUCUUGAUUGAACAACACGCAGUCAUAUAAAUCAUAGUAACUCUAACCUUUAUUUUGUAAAACGUACCUUUAAAACUAGGUGACACAUUCUUAUUACACAUGAUAUUGAAUGAGAGUCUAUUUCAUCUAUCCUACCUUAAUACAAUGAGUGACAUCCUCGUCAUCCUACCUAUUACCUUGGAUUAUUAAUAACCCAAGUACUUAAAACUUUCUCUCUUGGAAAUGACCUGGGUGUUCUCACAUCCACGUUCACUACAUGAGACACAUCACUGAAUUUACACUUUAAAUAUUCAAUUUUAAUUCCACUCAACUUAAAAUAUUUUAAUUCUAGGGUCUUUCUCCAAACUUUCGAUUUCGCGUUAACUCUAGCUCACAUCUUGUCAAUUAGUACUACUGAAAGCACAAUAUUAUUAAUGUAUGAGUUUAACAUCAAUAUUAUUUUAAUAACACAUUAAACCGAACGACCCUUCCAUAUCCAAUAGCGGGAAUAUCAAUAUGUAGUAAUAAUUUGGAGAAACUACGUAGUUACACAAACAUUUCUACCAUAUUUACUAAUUCUCCUUAUGGUUUGAAAUAAUUGUAUUUUAUAUACUAAUUUAUAAUUUUAUACCAGAUUUCAAGCGAAAUACACCUAGACACAUAUUUUUUGUUACUAGAUACAUUGAAAUAGGGAGAGAGUCGAGAGAAUAGUAGAGAGCCAAUGACAUUUGUCUAUGUAUCCCAGAUACAUGCGAAUCACACUAGAUACAUGUAUCGAAAGUGAUUCACAUGUAAUUGGAUACCAGAUACAUAGAAGAGUGGUGAGCGAGAUUGAAGGGAGACGAGCAAAAUUUUUCUAUGUAUCUUAGGUACAUGUAAAUUUAAUUUGAUGCAAUGCAUCUAGAACAAAUUACACCUAAUUUUGACUCAUAUAUCCCAAGAUACAUGUAACUGAAUGUAUAUGGACGCAUCAAAAUCUAUUAAGAUUAAUAAUAUUGUAAAAUAACAUGUAUCUAAGUAAUUAACUUCCGAACUAGUGAAAAUUUUGUAAGUUACCUUAGUUAUUAAUUAGGAAAAACUACAUAAAUGAGCCAUUAAACCCAAAAUAAUUACAAAUCAGUUCAAGUAUAUCUCACACAAAUUGUUAUGUAAGAUGUGUUAUUUACUUGAAUAAUUUUAUACAAAUUUAAGCAUCUACUUGUGUGCACCCAAAGUUGAGGGUCAUAGAUGAAAAAUCCCUAAAUUUGAAACUCCACAUUAGAUGUUAAGUGAAGCCAAGUUAAAGAACACAUUAUGUAUUACACCUUUAUAUUAUCCAUCAUACAAUGAUGCAUUGUUAUCUCACUCACACUUAAGUUAAUUUGAAAAAUAGGCCUUGAAAAUAAGUUCAUGAUUAUUCUAUAAGCAUAGCAUGAAGUGUUCUACAUUUUACACUGUGGAUUUUACCAUACUAUUAUAGAUGCAUAACAUAUGACAAUCAACUCCAUAUCAAAAGUUCUCAAAUUGGAAGUAAACUAUGCCAAACCAUCACACUGAACAGAAUCAGUGACCCUAUAUUUUCUCUUAAAUGUGAGAAAAUAAAAGCAAUUACAAAGAAGCCAACAAUUUACAUAAAACACCACAGUAUUAAGUAUGUUAGACACCCUAAGUUCUAUACAAUGACAAAGAAUGAAUUUUCAGCUAAAUUCACCUACUUGCUGCUUCUUUGAAAGUACCUACCCUAUGUCACAUAGAUGAGAGGGAAGAGAACAUGUACUUACACCCUUAAGAAAAACAAGGUAGACUCAUCCCCAAUAGGUUUAAAGUGCUUGAAUCGGAGCAGUUUCACCCUUGGUAAUCUCUGAGCUUUUGACUGGUGCGCUAGCAUGAAAAGCUGAUUGUCGUGAUGGUUCUGCUGUUAGCUUAAGGGAGAGUGGUGAAGGCUCAAUAAGGCCAGAACCAGUGUCUGCUAAAGUGAGCUGGGACAUUCCCACCAGUUCAUCUACAUUCACGGGUUCUUUAGGGACGGAUGGAAUUGGCUUGAGGAUCUGAUGAUGAGACGGUUCUGCUCCUCUAUCUUCAGGGACCGGGAAGGCAUUUGAUGGCCAGAAGGGAUAUGGAACUGGAAUGUAAGCUGGGAAGAAUGCUGGAAAUACUGAAGGAAUUUCGCUGAUUGUGGUAUUUGGUUUCGUUUCUUCAACAGGUUCACUUGGAGCGGUUUCCAUGGAUUCAAAAUCUGACUUGAGAGAAAGUUCUAAGGAAGGGAGUGAAUCUGCAAAAUUAGUUUCUAUUGCUUUUGUUGCGGAGGGUGCUAACUGUUCCUUAUCACUUUCCAUUGCUCUAGGUGGGAGCAUAAAUUGUUCUUCCGGAAGUGGAUGGGAAGCAUCAGCAGCCUGUUUAACAUCAUAGAAAAGAAACAUAAAAAAGGAUCAAAACAAAAGUCCUAAGAAAGGACUUCACCAAAAGCCCCAGAUAACAUAGCAAAACAGGAAAGCUCAAGUUUCACCCCGCGGAAACAGGAAGAGAACUUUUCUCAUACGUCGUAACAUGAGAUGGAUGACCAAGUAACUAAGAGUAGACAUGCUGCAACGGCAUGUCAACUGCCUAUGCGUUUGGGUGGGCUUGGGCAGGGGUAGCUUUAGGCCUUAACUAUAGUGCACAGCAAUGCCUAUAUGGUCAUAAUAUGAUCAUUAUCCAAAGCUUAAGUUUGAGAAGCAAGACAAACCGUAUCAGCAACAAUGUCAAAAAGACUGGAUCUUCUCUUUCUCCGAGUAGCAUUACUCUGCCGAAUAAAAUACUUCUGGGCAUGGCUAGCUACUUGGGUAGGAGUCCUUGACGUCACAAAGUUUCGCGAUAUACCCCGCCAAUCUCCUUUGCCCAAUUUUUGUAGCCCGAUCAAGAAAAGCCGGUGCUCUUCCUCUGUCCAUGGAAUGCCUACAAACACAUCCGAGAAAUUAGUUCACAACCAACUUUCCUCCACACACCUAGGUGAUAAAUUUGUCACCUAAAGUUGGAGUUAGUGACAAAACUCUCUCAGCAAAUCAUCCCAACAAACAAAAGUGAGAUCCAAAAAGGAAAGGGAAAUAUUUGCUUCUGUUACUGUCAAUUUACUAGAAUAAUAAAUAGGUUAGUCGUAGGAGGAGUUUCUGUAUAAAUAAAAAAUUAUUAAAUUUUAUGUAAGAUAUUUAAGGCUUUCCUCAAUGCUUAAUAAAAAUUAAGAGAAUUUCAAUCAUUUUGCUGCUCCACCCUUUUAAAAACCCACCCGUGGUAUAAGAUCUUCCAUUGAUCUUAUUUUACUGGAUCUGUGAGUUCACUGAAGAAGAAAACCUUCCAUCCACUAAACUAUACCUAUUUCCAAUUCAUUUUUUAACUCGUGCUUAUUUUUAACGCAUGAGCCUUUUUUUAACUCUUGCUUAUUUUUAACGCUUGAGCCCAAUACCAAUUUUUAAUAUAGGGAUACAACCAAUACUUAAUUUAAUACAUACCUAUUUUAAUCAAGACAAGCAUCAAUAUCUUUUUGAAUCACGGAUGAAAAUUAUCAAAAUUGGUCAGUGAAGUUCAAGUUUUACUUUGAAACCUAUGAUCUAUGAGACAUUAUAAUGGAAGAAAAAUCCUCACGACAAAUUUUUGCAAAUCCUAUGGUUGUCCAAAUUAAAAGAUCUUUCAUACAAGACAAUAUAAUUGAGGAUGAUUUAUGCACAACCAAAAGACAAAAUAAAGGAGGAGAAGGAAAAUCAUGUUACAAAAAAAGUGUGCAAGUUCAACAACACUCAAAAGAAUUCACAAGCACAAACUACCUAAGCAGAAAUUUUGAGGAGGAACAACCUUAUUAGAUUGCAGCAACUGAAGCAGAGGAGUGUUGAAUAUUUGAUUUUGUUGCUACAAAUUUACAAGAACAAUUAGUAGUGUAGUUGUAGGAUGAGUCUUUGUUUAAACUUAAAUUUAGUUGGACAAAUUUAGUUGAGAUAUUUUAGGUUUUUAUAUUUCAUUAUGCAUUUUUUCUUUUGCAAAUUUUCUACUUUUAAGUUGGCUUUUUAAAAGACCCUCUACACCAAUAACAUACUAAAUGUAGUCUCACACAGUGGGGUCUGGAGAGGGUAGAGUGUACAUACACCUUACCUCUACCUAGAGAGGUAGUUUCCGAUAGACCCCCGGCUCAAGACAAAAGUAGUCUAGAAAAAGACAUAAUGGAAGAACAAGAGACAAUAAAUAGUAACAAAAACCACAGAUAGUGACAAAAUAGUACUAUUACAAACAAUACAACAAACGAACUAUAUGAAAUAAUAGAUGGUAACAUAAAUUGAAGAACAUGAAACUACAGAAGUAGCCUUACAACUACUAGUAAGGGAAACAAGACAAAGCACUCCUACCUACUAGUAUGGACACUCUUCUACCUAUUAACAUUCUACCUUAAUUCGUGUCAUUCACACCUUCCUAUCUAAGGUCAUGUCCUUCUUAUCACACAUGACUCUGAUGCGAGCCUCCAUUUCAUCCACCCUACCUCUAUCUUCUGUUCAAAAACACUCUAUGCUUAAUAAAAAUUAAGAGACAAUUCCAAUGUUUAAUCUUUUUGUUGUUCCACCCUUUUUAAAAAACCAACAAAAACCACAAAUUGAGAAAAGAAAAGCUUUCUAUUCCAAAAACUUUUGUUUAAGAUGAUAUUCCAUGAAUUCUCAUGCAUCUCUGCACAACUCUAAGAAUUUGAGAAGAUAACAUUUUAGACCGAACUUAUCACGCACCAAAUCAAGAUGGUAGAUGGCAUCAUUAGUUGAACAGCAACAUGCUAUGUCCAAUUGUAAGGGAGUGAGUUAAAUAAGAAUAUUUGAUAAAUGGACUUGAAAAUAAUUGCAAGAGCACAUCAUUUCUUCUUUAGAAGCCUCGUAGAUAACAAAGUUAAACCGUUACUGUUUAGACGAAAAGACUAUUGGAUCAAUGACUUGCUAUACAACUUUAUUCUAAAGAAACAACCAUGUCAUUACUACAAGCACUAUUGGUGGGAUCACAUUUUGUGUCACCCUGCUUAUUAUGUUGAUCUUUUCAGUUUAUCUUCUCCAUAGAAAGGAGGACGGAAACUACACGAAGAAGUAUAAGAGAAACCAAAACCUCCAUUUUAAGCUGCAUUACCAAAUCACAGACAAAUGUCAACUUGAAGAUGCAUCGAUGUAACACGAAUUACAGUAGAAGGACUAAUAUUUUGAUUAUGAUCAGCAACCGUAGGAAGAGCUAGCCAACUAGAUAACACUAUAAAUCACAUUGAAUGUAUUUGUAUCAAGUGAAUAAGAAAGGUGCACUUUCACACAAAUGCAUUAACCACACCACAAGAACGGGCCCCUUUUUGUUCAUUGAUGCAGUAAACACACAAGUGAAUAAGAAAGUUUCCAUUUCACACAAACACAGUAAAGCACACCAGAACAAAGCUAUAUUAAUAACUAUUUUCCAACAUCAGUUUGUUUUAUCAUCAACUAUUGCAACAUACUGACACUGUAUGAAUUUCAAACAGUAUGAAGCGCUAUAGACCAAAUUCACUAUUUUAUAUCAAUUCCACCCUACCACUGCAAACAUCUUACAUCCAAUGAUCAUCACAUUCAUUAAUAUCUAUAGCAGGAAGCAGUAAAUUUCUCAUUUCCAUUUAUUUACCGUCGAUAAAUUUGAGUCAUUAAGAAUGAAAAACAACAGCUAAAAAUGAAAGGAUUGAUUUACUUUACAUUCCCUAGAAGAAAUGUGACCGAGAGGGUGCAUCCAUUCUCAUGGCUAACUAGGAUAUAAUUGACAUUUGGAGUGUGACAAAGGUAUGAAGUAAGUUGAAAUCAUCCAGUAUAUUGAGAAGUAGAGGAUACUGAAAAGUGGCAUAAAGAUGUGGCAUUGAAAUGCCUUGAAAGGAAGGAGAAACAAAACAAAGGUUACAGAAGAUCUGCAUCAGAUGUCCAAAAAGGCAGCUGAUCUUUACUCUUCCAGGCGAUGUUAUAAGAACUUUUGAUUUUAUAAAAUUGAUCAAGAUGUUCAGAUGAUGAAUAUGACUUCAACAUUUUUUUGGUCACAAGUUGACAAAAAUUCAUGAAGGCACUAUUAGACAUCUAAGAAGGGGCAUACUGGUUACUUACAACUUGACAGAAACAGUAUUUUCCAAUCAAAAGAGGAAAGGCAGCUCAAUUCUCAAAAAAUACAAAGUUGCAUAGAGUGCAAAAAUGAAAGACAAUUGAAGUGAAUAUGCAAGACGUAGCCAAAAAAGGGGAUCCUUGGAGCAAUGGUACAGUUUUCUAUAUCACUUAGAGAUCAUUGGUUUGAACCAUGGAAUCAACAACUGGUGCUGGCCUCGUGAUAGGCUGCUUACAUUACAUCCCUCCUUUAUGGUGUGGCCCUUCUUUGGACCUUAUGUGAAUGCAACAUUUCAUGCAUUGGGCAACCCUUUUUAUUAUGCAAGCCGAAACCAAACUAUUCCACAAGAAACAUUUUUUUAUAAAAAAAACAAAAACAAAAAAGAGCUCCACUUAUUCUGGACAUUUGAUAUUAAUUGGAUUACCUAGUGCGAGUAUCUAGCCCACAACUUAACCUUCACACUGAGCACACCAGAAAUGGUAUGCAAGUUUCCAUAUACCAAAACUGCUCGAAAAAAUUAACUUAGAGACAAUUCAACCAGCAAGAACAUGCAAAAAAUCAACCAGCAAAAACAUGCGACAAAUCAACCAGAUCGACCUAACAAGAAUUAUCUACUUGUACUUCGGAAACUCAACUGUUGGCAAGAGGGAAAGAUGGUUCUCUUAUAGGGUUUUAGGCAAUCAUCACUUAUUAUACUAGAUUUUGAGAUUGAGUUAGACCCAAAAACCACUUCUGUUCACAUGUUAUCAGAGCCACACACAUUCAUGUUCUUGGUUUAUACAACAUUGGGCCCUCAUAUUAUGUUGUCUAUGCUCUAGAUUUCCAGUCCUAUUGUGUGGGGUGUCAGAGUGUCUCACAUUAGUUGAGGGGUGGACUGUUUUCUCCUCAUAUGGUCUUAGACAAUGCUCACUUAUAUAGCUAGCAUUUGGGAUUGAGUUCCAAGGUUGAAUUAUCAGGCACAAAAGAUACCAAAAAAUAAAUCCCGGACACAAACAACAUAACAUCUAAGAUAUACAUCAAAUAUAAAGCACAACAGCAAUAUAUUACAGAAGAUGCAGAAACAAAAGCAUUAAAAACCUAAAAGGGAAAAAAGAACCAAAACAAAAGAAGGAGAAAAUACUAAACCAACUUUUAAGAGAAGAAAAUACCAACUAAGUACCACCAAUCAAAGAUGCAAACUGAAACAUCAACCUCUUACCUCUCUCCCUCUGCCCCAAGAUAAAGAGAAAGCAAAAUACUAAAAAGAUAGUCUCAUUUUGUAAAAACAAACAAAUUAGGAUGGAGGAAAGAAGGGGGUAGGGGUUUGGCCGGUGUAUAUCAAUCAAUUUGCCCAAAAAAAGUUGGCUUGGUUAUAUGAGUAUUGAAUCUUAUGUAGUAUUCAAGUAAAUCAUCACAGUCACAUAUCAUGCGCAACAUAGACCUAAUCAUCCUACCUAUCCAAGUUAAUAAAGAGGGAAGUGUAAAAUUGCAAAUGAACAAAAUCAAUGGAAACAAAAAAAAAACUUUCUUAUUUUCUACUAUAAAACAGACAAAAAUAAGAGGGAGAAAAGGAGAAGGGGUUUAAAGAUGAAAAUCAAUAUCAAGCACUACGUAAAUCUAACCAUCCUGCCUAUCCAAUUAUUAUUAUCUUUUUCCUCGAGCUAAAUGACUAUCAGAAACAGACUCUACUACCUUCUCUAAAGUAGGAUAAGGUCUGCUUACACUCUACCCUCCCAGAGCCCCUUUCUAGGAUUAGGGAAAACACAUAAAAGUUGCAAAUCAACUAAUCAAUUAAACCUCAACCACAAACUAGUCACCACAGUAUUCCAUACGCUCUAUUCAGGCAUGCUACUAGAUUUGUUUGUCCCGAAAAAAGAUUAAAUUUCGAAAAUUCCUCAUAAUUAAACUAAUUUUAAUCUUGCUUCCAAGGAAUAAUUCAUCUAUACUUUGCAAAUGAACAGCAGUAAAUAAGCCUCAAUAUCACAUUCAUUUCAACAUUUCAUCAAUUUUGAAAAAAUUAAAAAUUUAAAAAAAAACAUCAUACCUUUUUUCCUUUCAAUUCUAUGAUUUGCAGAACACGAAGCAUGAGCAGGAUCAUCAGAGAGAUAACCAUCAGUCAAAUGAACAGAUUCACGAAGAACAUCAGAAGAAGGAGAACCAGGAUUAGGCGAAGCAGCAGCGGAAGAAGAAGAAUGAUAGUGAAGGGAGGAUAGAUUUCCCAUGCUCGCACUUUUCUUCAUGAUCGACCCAUCCGUAAGCCUAACACCAAACAACCGCACACCUCCGCCGCCGGAGCUACCACCACCGACACCGCCGGUGACGCCACCUCUGGUAGGACAAGUCCGGGAAUUAUGGCCAUUGUUGUUGCAAUGGGAACACCGCCGAGUCAUGAUGAUUGACUCGGCGAGUAAAUGGAUAAGAUUUAAUUAAUAUUAAUUUAUGAUUAGGAGUUAGUUUUUUUUUGUUGAUGUUGGUUUUGAAGGAGAAAGGUUUAUAAAUGGUGGAUAAGAAUAUGCGAAUAAUAAGGUGGAGAAGGAGGGAGAUAAAAGAGGAAAAGACUUCAGUUUGUGGAUGGGAGUGUACAAUAACAAGAGAGAGAAAAAAAGGAAACUUGCUUAUAUUUUCCUUUUUCUCUUUUGUUUUCUCCCUACUCUAUUUUUUUUUUUUUUUUCAUUAGCGUGUUUGGAGUUCAUAUUGGAGUAUCGAAUAAAUUUGAAUUACAUAUUACAAUAUGUAGGGUCUAUUUGAGGUAGUGCUCCUAAUAGAAAUUUUUCUAUACCCAUGCUCGAAUCUGAGAUGUCUUGUUAAGUCCCUACUUGAUGUAAUGAUUCGGAAACUCGAGUCAUGUUGACACCUAUUGUAACUCACGAAUAAGUAAGUCUACCCCAUAUCCUGAAACCACAAGUAACAAGCUUAUCGGGAAUCAACGACCAAUGAGAAGAUAAUAACAAGAAAAAGAAACACACUGUGGAAAGAAGGAAAUGAGACAAAUAUAUACAAGUACAAGAUCAAAUCCCAUGACCUAGUGGACGAAGGUACAAAAUUGAUAAAACAAGUACAAGCUACAAACUAGACUAAAUAGGUACAUACUUGUCUCAAGUACAAAAGACUAGCUAAAACUAUAUACAAAUGGAGAUAAGUUGAACUACGACAUAAUCAACUCACUCUCUAUCUUCGCAGAUUUUCGUUGAAGUUUGAAAUCAACGCUAAUGACUGGUGCUCAUAUAUAUGUCAAAAAAUAUGUGCAUAGUAUACCUAGAAAAUCAAAACAAUAGGUUUGUUGAUGCUUGAUUUGAUAUAUUUGUUAAAAAUAAUAAAUAAAAUAAUAAUUUUUUAUAUAAUUAUUUUUAAUUGAGGUGUGUAAAAAUUAAUUAUAUAAAUUAUAUAUAAAAUGUUGUUAAUUUAUCGAUAUUUAUUGAAUUAGCUAUUUUUAAAGGCUUUUGUAAAUUCUUUUAAUUGAUUAAUUAAUUCAAUUUUUUAUUUUAAGUUUUUGUUGAUAGUUAAAUCGAUAACCCAUUUAUUCCUAAUUAAUUAUGCAUACAAUAAUAACUUUAAAGUUUUAACACAAAUUUAAAAAAAAAUAAAAAAUUAAAUUAAUUAAAAAUUUAAAGCAACCUUGUUUACACCCAAUUCUCAGCACCAACAUCGGUUGUGGUGCACUGGUGGGAGUGUUUCACUCUUAACCAGAGGUCUCGAGUUCGAGCCCUGGGUAUGGAGAAAAUCUUGUUGGGAGCGCCACCCCCAAAUGGGCCCUGCAGAGCGCGAUCUGGAUAUAGUCAGAGCUCCAAUGUGGACUCCGGACACCGAGUGGAAAACCAAAAAAAAAUUUCUCAACAUCAAUUGGAGAGUAUAAUUACACAAUUUCAAUUAAACUCAAUUUGUUUCAACUUUGUAAUUACUGAUCAAACAAUCAUGUUAAACUGUCUAAUUACAUUUAAUUUUGCUCAUUUAUAAUUCCCUUGUGGCUUUUCAAACAAAUUAUAAAUUCCUAUUUUCCUCCAAGUUUGCUAGUUAACCAAUACUUACAUAUUUCUUCUUAGAAAAUGACUUGAUGCAUAUGUUCAUUUAUGUCGUUCUUGUUUUUUUAGAGAGAAUUGAGCGUUGUUAUUAUUAUGGUUGUUAGAUGUAGAUUAAGACUUUUGGACCUCCUUAAAAUAUGAAAUUGUUAUGACUUUUGAGUAUAAGCAUCAAAUGUUGAGACAGAGACUUGUCAUUGUGCCACGUAAAUUUAUUUAGUAAGUAGCAAAUAGUGUAUACAUGAACAAAAGAAAAUUAACAAAAAAAAUUAAAAAUAAAAUGAGGAGCAUUUGCUUAUUGGUUCAAAUCAAAUAACCAAAAACAAUAAUUAAUACGCUAUUGAUUUGGUUAUCGCUUUAGCUUGUUUAUAAAUAAUUUCUUGAGGUAAUAAUGAUUAGUUAAGUGAAUAAAAUCAACCCACAUUAGGGGUGUGCGCUAUUCAGAUUAAACCGAAUAACCAAACCAAAUCAAACCGAAUUUUUAUUUGGAUUGGUUUUUUGGUUUUUCGGAUUGGUUUUGGAUUAAUAAAUUACUUUGUUUGGUUUAAUGUUUAGAAUUAAGUUGCAGUUAACCACUUUUGUCCCUUUUUGGUUAUUGCCUUUCAUGAUGAUUACAUUUGUAUUUUAUGUUUGAAUUACAUCUAUAGUAGGUAUACUUAUAAGUAUUGUGUUUUAAGUUUUACUUAUGAUUUAUAUUAGAAAGUAUAUUUAAGGGAUUAAAUAUUAUUACUUUGGUUAUGUUAUUAAUUAUUGACAUAACCGAAUAACCAAAUCGAAAAAAGCCGAACCGAAUAGGGGAAAAUCAAACCAAACCAAAUUUAUUUUGGAUCGGAUUGGGUUACACUUUUACAAAACCAAAAACCAAAAAAUUCAAACCAAAUAGUGCAAAACCAAACCGAAAAACCGAAUGCACACCCCUAACCCACAUAGAGUGACUUUGAGGGAGAUAGGUUGGGUAUUGUAUUUUAACAUUGUCUUUGUUCUAAUUUAUGUGAUAUAUUUAAAUAAAAAUACAAUCAAUUUCUUACUUAUGUCGAGUCCACUUAUUUGACAAAAAAAUCCACAAAGAUAUAAUCUUCUAUUUAAAAUUUUAUUUAUCUUAAAGAUAAUUUAGAUAUAUUGCAAAAAAGUUUCAUAUUUUUUAAAUUUUGUAUCCAGUUAAAUAUUACAUUAUUUAAAUUGAGACGGAAUACUAGAUAUCUUUUUAUUUGGCACCAUGCCUUUUUUAUUUGCAAUUUUGUCUUCAUGGAUAAUUUAUAAAAUACAAGUGUUUUUAUUGUUUUGUUAAACAAAUCAAGAGAUUAGGAUGUACAUUAUUAAUUUGGAAGAAUGAUCCAAAUGCCUAGUUCGAACUUCCACAAGCUUUUUUUUUAACAUCCAUUCAUAUAUUGUCCAAACACCUACUAAAGAACUUCAAAAUUUUCAUUCGAAAAUUACAAAAAAUUGUACUUGGAAUAUUUGAAGUCCUUUGUUGCUAUGUUCAUCUUUUUACUUCACAAAAGAGGAGGGAAGAACUCAAAGUUUUCAUUCGAAAAUUACAAAAAAUUGCACUUGGACCAUAUUUGAAGUCCUUUGUUGCUAUGUUCACCUUUACUUCACAAAAGAGGAGGGAAGGAGGUGGUAUAGGGAAAGUUAAUACAAGUUUCAAAUUUACCUUAAGAUACACAGUUCCAUUUUUUUGUCUUCUGAAUCCCUCUUCCCUGCAUACUCCGGCACAUCUGGGGGGUGAUGAUCUCUACCAUCUUAGGCCCCCUCCUCCUCUGCAGUUGCCUCAUCAGCAGAAACCUCUUCCAAUCUCUCAAGGAAAUCUUUUUGGAUAGUUUCGUGGAUAGUAGAGGGAUUAAAACACAUGCCAUCACUUGACGCGGCUUCAAAUUUCAUCCACAGUUCUUUCUUCAAAGUGUUCUCACCAGGAUGCUUUCCCAUUACAAGAAUGCUCUUCGAUUCUGUCAUCAUGGGAGUUCUUUCAACUAUAUCUAAGUUGCCACCAGUUUCUGUUCCAAAAGAAAGAAAGAACAAUAAAUAUCAGAAUGGUCAUGUUAAUGAAAACCAAAUGGAAACAUCUUGAUUGCAUUCAGAAAAGAAAGAUCUUCAAUAUCGUGUAUAUUUUGGCAAGGGGUACUCACCAGCUGCAUUAGUCAAUGAUUCUUCCACAGGUAGCUCCAUCAGUACACAAGUUUUGGGUGGUGAAAAUAGAAAGUCUGGUGAUUCAUCAUCGGCCACCUUCCCUCCGUUUGUCAAGUUUUGACUUAAUUUGAUUCCAAAUAGUUCAGGAUACUUCAUUGUCAAAUGUUCAGCACCUUCGGAGCUGGAGGAUUCUGAAUCUUCAGACAUGCUAGAAAAAUGACGUGAAACAGGAAACGGUGUCAUUUUAUAAGCCCCAUGCUUGUCCCGACAGUUGUAUUCUGAUGAAGGUUCAAGCAGUACACACGUCUUCGGCGGUGACAUUUUCAAGCAUGGAGUCAUUACUAGCAACGAACUGUCAAUUUGUGAAAGUCUUACAGGCGAAAUAAGAUCUCUUUUCUGAGGGACCUCGUUGAUGGUCAUAUCAUGAGCAGAAACAUUAUUCAGAAUUGACUUCACUUCAUUAUUCACACGCAAUAUGUCCCUCUCCCUGGUUACAUCAGAAAGGGAUGGUGGUAUGUCCAUCUGCCCGGUUACAUCAGAAAGGGAUGGUGGUAUGUCCAUCUCCCCAGUUAUGUCAGAAAGGGAUGGUAGUUGACUAGCCAUAGAUUUUGUAUUCUCAAGCAAACAAUCUUCCAUAUCUCCCCUAAUAUCAAAAAGAGGACGUAGCUGGGCAUUCGUAGCUGAUGUGUAGUUGUCAAACGUUUUAGAAGAUCCUUGGCAUUUGGAUGAGAGUACUUUGCGAAGAGGUAAAGGUGUGAGCAGAAAAAGUUGUCUGCCACCCUCAGUCGUACAGCCUGCCCUCCAGGACACAAGGGGUGAUGGGGAAACUAGUGAAUCCCACUUGGAUUGGUCAGGGCUAUCAACAGCAUCGCUUGUAUUAUCAGCUACCACGGGAACUGCCUCACUAAUUUGUGACUGUUCAGAUGGAUGUUCGGGCCUCGUGGAUAGAUCAGAAAGGGCUUUCUGAAAUUUGGGAACCCAUGGCUGCAAUUUGCCAACAUAAAAUAUAUGUAAAAUACGGUGGAAUGGAAGACUCUAAUAUAGGAGCAGAGAAUAUGACACAAAAAGAGAACCUUCAAAGAAGCUUGCAUUUCAGACAAGACAUGUGUGAAAGAUUCGAUUUCCUUCCCACUCUUCUUGCCCCCUAGUUUGAGCACUUGAACAAGUUCAUCAAUCUGCAGUUGAUCAUGUAAAGAAAGAUGAGAUUAACCUCUUUAUGAAAACAUUGAAGUUGAUACAGGGAAAACAAACUUCAAAAGAUUGGUAUUGGUAUCUGAUACAGUUCGAGCAAGAUGUAAAUAUGCUCUUCUGAGUUUAAAGUAACUUGAGAAUACAAGAUGUAGUUUAUGUGAGAGUUACUGUGAUAAAUAUAUAGAUAUCUGGAUGCCUUGUCAUUAUUCAAAAUGCUUAUAUAUGUCAGGUAAAGACGACUGAAAGUAAAACUCCUAAUUCUCAGCAAUGUCAAAGGAGAUUGAGCGCAGGAUGAUGAUGGUUAUGGAAAAAGGGAUGAAAAAGGAAGCAGGAAGGUCCAACUUUUUCACAGAGAUCUUCAGUUCUGCUCCAUUUACCAGAGUAAUAGGGCCAACAACUGAUGCUCAUCAUCUUAUUCUGGGUAACCCUAUGAACUUCCUAAAGAACGUCAAUAACAAUUACAUUUCAAUUCCAAGCAAUUUGGGGUCGGCCACUUGAAUCCUCUAUUUUAAAUGUUAUCUACAUUUUGAAAUGGCAUAUAAGUCUCUAAUAAUACUCAAGGACUCCUACCAACUAUUGGAUCUUACGAAACAUACUAACAUGACUAUAACUUAAUUCCAACUAACUGGGACUGCCUAUGUAGAUUUAUGAAUUUCCUAAAGGACAUAAAGUCAAAAUAACACAGCCUUAUCCCAGUACCAAAAAAUUAGCUACAUAAUCCAUCUCUUCACAUGACGUUAUCUAGGAUUGGUUCGCAGCUAAGAAGCUACCUCUGCUCAGACGUACUGUUUCCAUUCAUUUGUAGACUCAUCACUCAUCUAUGGAAGCAGUAACAGCAGGCAGAGACACUCCACAGCCGAGUGCAAAGACAUCAAUUUCUAAUAACCAAUGUGAACUACUAGAUACUUCCUCCUCCUCCAACCCCAAACAAACCAAAUUAAAAAAAAUGCAGCAAAACCUGUUUUACAAGAAUAUAAAAAUUCACCGACAAUGCCAAAAUGAUCAAAAACUCUCUCAGUUGCACUGAGAAGUAUCCAAAAUGGUGUAAAAUUGUAACUGCACUCCUUAUAAUAAGUGACACCAAUAACCUCUGACAGUGCAACAAAGCAAUAUGCACUAAUAAGCAAACCAAUUAAUUAACUAUCCAGCGCUGAAAUCCUCAUUUGGUUGGCCAUAUAACAACAACAACAUACCCAGUGAAAUCCCCCAAGUGAGGUCGGAGGAAGGUAAAAUGUAUGCAGACCUUACGAGGCCAAUUCCAAAAAAACAGAUUGUUUAUAUAAAUCAUGUAAAUCCCCCAAUCUAUUUCAAUUUGCUGUGCCUGUAUAGGACUUCUACAUCCAUUCCACUCUAUUCGAAUCCAUUUCAUUCUAAUGCUAAAUAAUUUAUCUUCAAACACCGUCAUCGAAUACUUCUUCGAACUAUUUUUGAGCAAAAAUUACUCUUACCUGAUGAAUAACGGAGGAGAAGUCGGAGCGAAUGAGAAGGAGACGAUCCAUGACAUUUUCACCGGCAACUGAUUCGACGUCGUCGUUUUCCCUUCCGUAGAGCUUCUUGGAUUUGAACGAAGUUGCUAAUGGCUUUACCAUGUUUGAAUUAGAAACAUCUCGUAGUGGUUUUCUUGUGGAUUUGAAUCUAGCCGUAGAUUUUCCGGCGGUGUUCUUCAGAUUGUUCGUCGGCAUCUGGUUUGUGUGUUUCGCCCAACGGUCACUUCUUACUGUGUUCUAUGAGUUUGAAUUGAAUUAUUUUCGGGCGUUGAGAUAAUAUGGAUCGGUUUUGUCUAGGUAGUACCACUUAUUGGGCGGGCCUAAUAUGAAGAGUCUUGUAUCGAAUUUUCAAAGAAACAUCUUAAUUUUGUAGGUAUUCUAUUACCGUACGAAAACAUUAAAUAACUUUUAUAAAUAGAACAUUUUGAUUCGUUUUCUCCCUAUGGUUGUUUUCACGUAAAUAACACGCGUGAAUGAGAAACUUUGCUUUUAAAAAUGAAUUAGAAAGUGUUACAUGUCAAAUUUUUUCUCUUUUAUAUUUAAUUACUUCCUCCUAAAAUACACCAUUUUCUCCAAUUCUUUCAAAAGAGCCAUUGAUUUUUUUAAAAAAAAAUAUCAUCUUCUCUCUUGAACGAAAUUAACCUAAAAAAAAAAGAACUUUCUAACUUCCUGUUAAUUUUCAGUGUUCAAGGUUUAAUUUCUUCGAAGAAGGAACUAAAAUACCUCGAAGUAUUGAAAGUGGUACAAAAUCACCCCAUCACUAUUGGCUUUCAAAUACCCUUCUCAGCCACCUUUGGGUCCAAUUUUGACCACUUCUUUAACAUACUAUCAUUUAAAACAAUUUAACUAUUUAAUAUAAUUUAUAAACCCACCAAUUACCCACUCAUUAUUAACUAAACCCACCCUAUUUACAAUUACCCAUCUAUUAAAAAAAAUCUUCACCCUUCGUUCUCAAUUUAUCCAACAUUUUUUUUCUUUAAAACAAUUUUCUUCCUAGGUUUAAAAGAUUAGUUUUCAACAUCUUCUCAUUUUCAUUGUUUUUUUUAAUUAAAAUGUCAGUUUCUUCAAUUCCGUACAUGUAAGUGUGAAUUUAUGGCAAGACAUUUUACUGCUAUAAUUGUUGAGAAUGGUGUAUGUUGUGCCGUAAUUUUCCUAUCUUUAGAAAAAUCACUUUUUUUUGAAAUGUUCUACGUAUAAAACAGUUUGGGAAAAAUACUUAGAAAGAGUCGCCACUUAAUUUUUUAAAGAAAUCAAGAAAACUUAUAAUUUUCAAAGAUUUAAACAGAAAAAAUCAUUUGAGAAUACCAAAAAGGGUUCGGGGUUCAAUUUACACUUCGAGAAGGGUUUAAGCAUUCGAAGUGUCCGCUAACAUGCGGUUGACCUGCGACUUGACUAAAAUAUAUUUGACUAUUUUUAGAAAGAAAAAAAAUAAAAAUAAAAUAAUUUAACAUAAAAAAUAAUAACUUAUAAUAUAUUUGAUUAAGAAAAUAAUUAAAUAAAUGACGCAUUUUAUUUUCAUUUUAUUUUUUAGAGGAAGGGAUCCAAAAUGAUACAUUUGACUCGAAAUACAAGUGAUUGGAAUAUUAAUAAAACUAGAUUAAUUAGAAUUUAUUUAAUUCAUUUUAAACCAAUUUAAUAAAUUAAAACAUGAAAAUCAUUUCUUAUUAAUUGACUAACCCUUUUUUUUUUUUUUUGAGAAAAUGACUUAAGUAAGUAUAUAUAUAUUUUUAUUAUUAUUAUUAUUGUUAAUCAAUUGAAAAAGUUCUGACCAACAUUUUUUAAAGUUUAUUAAAGAAAUACUUUAACUUAGAACAAUUUUGAAAUGAGUGAAAAAAAAGUGAUUUAAAUGAAGAAAACCCUUAAAGAACAUAUCUUUUAAAAAAAAAUUAGGAAAAUGAUUUAACAUAAGAAUAUAUGAUAUUUUACGAUAUUCGAUUAACUUUGAUAAAAAUAGUUAAAUAAAGAAUAAAUUUUUUAAAUUUUUUAGAAAAUAGGAUCUUAAUUGAAACAACUUGAUCAAUUAGGAUUUUAACAAAAUUAGAUUAAUUAAAAUUUAUUUACGUCAUUUUUUAGAAAUAAUAAUUCGAACCAACUUGGUAGACAAACCAAGAAAUUAUUUUAAUCUAAUUAAAAAUAAGUGAAAGUUUUGACAAAAAGUAUUUGAAUAAGCAUAAGAGUUGAUAAAAUGAAUUAUUUUUAAGGAAACUAACAUAAAGAAUAUGGUUUAUCUUUUGGGAAAUUAAAUUAAGUCGCAAUUUAAAAUAAAUAAAUAAAUAAAUAAUCACACAAUUAGGUAAAGGAGAAAUUGAAUUUGGGCCUCCUUUUUGGGCCAAAUUCGCUGCAAUUUCUGGGGAUUUUACUCAAUCCCGUUUUUGGUAUACAUCAGCUGUAUAUCGGUGUAUAUUGAUCAUUUCUUAGCCCUUUUCAUGUAGUUUUUGCUUCCGGACACCUGUACACCUGCUCUCGACGGCCUGGCCGACUCAAAUGACAAGGAAAAGAGCCUUUGUGGCUCGACUCGGAAAUGCAAAGAAGAGAAGUCCACCAUGGACUCGGUAGGGAUAUUUCACAUGAAAAGAACACAUGGAUAAAAGUUAGCAUCUACUCACAAGGAUAAGACAAGCAAAAUAACCACACGAGAUUCGAUUGAUCUGAACUCGACCUUAAACGAAGUUCAAUUAACAAUGACUAAUAAGAACAAUUUUUAUAACACUCAAAGGUAAUGACAGUCAUGUAAAUUCAGAUUUAACAAGGUCAAAUUUUAAAGCAAAAAGAAAACCCAUUUACUAGUAAUUUGUGAACAAAUACAACUUUUCCGGGAAAACCCAUUUACUGCCUCAAAAACAUGUAAUGAUACUAAAGGAUGAGCCACCACAAGUACUGAAAUAAUUGUUCAUUCAAAUUAAAAUAAUCAAGUGAAGGUACAGUAGUAACUUAGCUAAGGUGAAGAGCAAACAAUGCCACAUAGUUAGCCAAUAAAACAUCACGUACUUUAGUCUAAUCAACUUUAUUUAAUGAAAUCUAACAAUGCAAAUUUACCAUGUCAAAAGGCUGAAUGUUGGAGGCUAAGCAAAUCCAAUCCUUUUAAACAAAGGAAGUGAAAACUAGUAGGGACUUUGCUGGAUCAUUUUAAAGGGAAAUGAAAUAUAACUGUAAGUAAAUAAAGCCAAGCUAGCCUAUUUCUCAAGCCAACAUGUUGCACACAAGCACAAGUAUACAUGAACAAAUACAUAAUGCAAAGAGAGGGCCAUGGAUGGACAGAGACGCCACGUAAAUGACUGAAAUAGGCGACAAGCUAAUAUCGGUACAGUCAUCUUCAGGUUUAGACAAAAGAUAAGAGAGCUACUACUAUUUUAACUAGCAACAACAUGCUGGAAAAUUAAUUACUGAACCUCGGAACAUCGAACAAUUAACAGAUACUUAUAAAACCCGAACCAAGUUGCGAUUUUCUAUUCUAAGGACGACAACCGACGUUUGAAUGCUUUUAAUUAAUCACUUAAGAUGGCCGAACGUGUUUGUUGGACAGACUAAACAGAGAUAAGCAAAGAGGGAGACAAAUAUCCAUUUUGAAUACAUUUCACAUUUUUUACAAGGAGCCGAUCGCAAAUGACAAAAUAAUUUUUUAAGCAGGAUCUGAACAAAACACAGACGAACCCGACUCAUACAAAAUUAGAACAUAUUCAAAUAAAACAAGACCCGCGAAACUCAUGCUAAAUCGACCCCUAAGACUUACAAUGGUCUAAGCAACAAAGAGGAGAAAACAACGCAUAUAUGUAUCAAUUUAUGAAAAAUCGAGAUCACCUAUAAAAGGUGAUUCUGAAUUUUGAGACUGAACCACAACUCUCAUAACUCAUCAAUCGAGAUAAUACCAAAAUAAGAAGACUCUAACAAGGAGAACAUUAACUCGGGAAAGGGGAAAAACACCAAACUUUCAGCGAAACAGAGGCAGACAAUAGCCCUGGACUCUUAAGAGAGUUUCAUUGCUGAUUCACAGCCAACAGGGGAUCGAAAAGCAUUUCAGAAUAAAAUGUUAACAUAUAAAUUGCUCACACAGCUGAGAGUCAAACGAGCAACACAUUGCGAGUGAAAUAGGUUCAAAGCGAAAUGAGUAUUACCUUAAAAAGGGCAGCGAACUAGGGUCGAGACGAGCUGGAACGAAGGGGCUUCCACCACCACACGAGGUUCCGACGAGCCUUGCUAGAAGUGAGUAGAAAAAAAAAUGUAUUGCUUAUCUUUUACAGCUAAUAACUCUUCUUGUAUAUAUAUUUUUUGCCUGAGUACAUAUGUUUCUCAAACUCUAUUCUCUCAUCGUUUUCCCCCCUUUUUCCCCCUUUCAUCCCUUGAACAUAGGGAACUAUUUAUAGGGAAAGUUGGGGCGAUUUUGGGGGAAAUCCGUUGGAUUUUGAAAGAAAAAUUUGAAAUUUUUGUUGCUCCUUUCCGAGACCAACAGUAAAAGGCAUGGGGAGUCUUUCUCUGCUCUGAGACUCUGUGAAAAGGGGGAAAAGGAGACGUGAAGGUGAUGGAUUAGGUUGCUAGGGUUAUGGGUGACGAGAUUUCCGGAUUUGGCUGGAUUUUUCUGGGUUGCGUCUGGAUUUCUGCGUGAAGAAGACGGUAUGGGCAGUGGGGUCGUUUUGGUGCUGCUGUAUGUAUUGUUUGCUGGAGAAUGAUUUUGCUAAUGGGUUUCUUUGGCAUUGACAAUGGGUUGGGCCGGGUCAGAGGG